UGAUGUGUUACUCCAGGAUCGACAGGUCAGGGCGAACGGCAGCCACCUCGCCAACGUCUGCCGGAGAGGCCAUGAUAAACCUCUUCUUGGCCAAACGCUCGUCGGGCUCCCUGGCAUACAUGGUCGAGUUUAGGCUGCGACAUUCUGGAGCAGGGGAUGUGGAUCUGGCGGGAAGGGACACCGCAGGCCUCAUCUAAAAACUCAGGGGAGUGGGGCGACGGUAUGGGAAUCGCUGGGUAACCUGAACUUUAUUAUCUAAGCUAGGAGAAACAGGCAGACCGGCAGGGGUUGGCGGCGGCGCCGGCGGUGGCCGUGAGCUAGGGUUCGAGGGGGGAGGGGGCCGGGUGGGGAUUGUGGAGGGGGGUGUUUGAGGAUACGCUGCGACUACUGAAAUUUUUAGUAUUGGUGGGUGGAGAUGGUGGUGGACGAGGGAGGGCGACGGUUCAAAUGCCUCGGUUACUGCAAUUUUACUAUAAGGUCGGUGCUAGAGGAGUGUGUGGGCGACGGUUGAAGUACGGCGGCUACUAAAAUUUGGGUAAAGGAAUUGAUGCGGAGUGGGAGUGCCCAAGAUCGUGCACAGUCCAAUAACAAUAUGCGUGUAUGAUAAUAAGGAAAAGUGGCGGAACCGCCGAUUUUUGCAACGCUCAAGGCGGGUAGUUUGUUUUUAUAUUUCUAGCUAGCUGGUCUAUCGCACAUGGUUCGUACUAAUUUCAAAAUAAACUUACCCGCCUUUAGCUUGCACAGGUGGUGAUUUUACAGCGCACUUGCAUCGCAGACGGUUAAGCCAAUACCUCCACCCUUUGCUCGCGCUUGCGCGGUCGUGGUGAUUUUAUAGCGCACUUGCAUCGCACACGGUUGAGCUAGUACCUUCACCUUUGCUCGCGCUUGCGCAGGCGUGGUGAUUCACAACGCACUUGUAUCGCACACGGUUAAGAUAUUAUACCCGUGUCCGCUGAGCGUCAUCAGAGUCUUUGCAGCAAAAAAAUCGUUAGAGAGGGUCAGAAGACACCCACACUAGCAUGUAGCCCAAAUAUAUAUGAGUGAAAAGGAUGGUCUGUGAUGUUCAAAAUUCCAAUGCAUAAAUUUGACCGUGCGGGCCCAUGGGUGGGCGCGUCGUCGAAGAUCGAUGAGAGGGGCUAGAAGUCAAGAACCACCUGGAAGUGGCCAAAUAUAUGUAAGAAUAUUGGGGAUGUUUAAAACUUUAAAUACACAAUGCAUAACUUUGGUGGCACCUGCCUCGUAAACCCAAAAGCACCAUUGGAUAUAUAUAUAUAUAUAUAUAUAAUGACAUAAUGUCGUACCUAGUUAGGAUGCUUGGUCCACCACCUCCCACUUCGUGUCAGCGGGGCGAAUGGAGAUAAUGAUCGAUACUUUGGUCAUACAUGCAUGUCGCCAUGACCUAUCAUAAGCCGGACCAAUUAAUCUAUCGUUUGGUCAAACGACAGCUGUUGUUGUCGAUAAACCGCUUGGGCCAAUAGAUUGAACCAUCAUAAAAAUCCCACGAGAGGGACCACAAAACCAGCACCUCUUGCAUGCGGCCCAAAAUGAUGUACGUUGGGAAGGGGUGAUGUGUGUUUUCAAUAUAGAAUAAUGUACAAUUUACAUGUGGUGCCUACCCCUCGAUACAGACAACAACCAUGAAGGCAAGGUAGUUAAGGACGAGAUACACAGGGUAUGAUGUAGGUCGAACCCAGCAAUCCGAGCAUGUGGGAGGGAAUCCUGACAACGCAUGAGCUUGAGCUUUGGUUGAGCGACAUGUGACCGGCCCUAACACGAACUAGGAGAAAUCCAUUCAUGGCCAACACAUACCUCUCAUUAUUGGUCAAAGGGAUGAUAUAUAUACACUCGGGGAGCCCACAGAUAUGCGUGUUGUCACAAAAAACCGCACAAGGGAGACGUGGUCGAUCAGAAGACCCCGUAUACACUGCAUGCGGCACGAAAAUAUGUAUGGGUACGGUGGUGUGUGAUGUGUUUAAAUCCCGAAUGCACAACUUUGAUGGGCCACCAACUACAUUACAAACCGAACACCGUACCCGACUCCAAGCCUGGUUCAAUACGUACGAUNNNNNNNNNNNNNNNNNNNNNNNNNNNNNNNNNNNNNNNNNNNNNNNNNNNNNNNNNNNNNNNNNNNNNNNNNNNNNNNNNNNNNNNNNNNNNNNNNNNNNNNNNNNNNNNNNNNNNNNNNNNNNNNNNNNNNNNNNNNNNNNNNNNNNNNNNNNNNNNNNNNNNNNNNNNNNNNNNNNNNNNNNNNNNNNNNNNNNNNNNNNNNNNNNNNNNNNNNNNNNNNNNNNNNNNNNNNNNNNNNNNNNNNNNNNNNNNNNNNNNNNNNNNNNNNNNNNNNNNNNNGGGUUGUCCCAUGCAUGUGCUCAAACUUUAUUUGGUCCAGCAUGGGACACAUCUAUAUCUAUACCCCUAUAUAGUAUGCGAAUAACUUUGAAAGUUGGUCGUUGGAUGAAGCGAAUCUGAUGGUACAGAGAUGGCAAAUCCGAGCACUACUGGCCAUUGGAUAUCAUCUACAUUCCACCAGAUUCUGCCACAUGUAUAAUCUAGAAGACUCCAUGGUUGAGCUUAAGCAUUGAAGGAAAUAUGCCCUAGAGGCAAUAAUAAAGUAGUUAUUUAUAUUUCCUUAUAUCAUGAUAAAUGUUUAUUAUUCAUGCUAGAAUUGUAUGAACCGGAAACUUAGUACAUGUGUGAAUACAUAGACAAAAACAGAGUGUCCCUAGUAUGCCUCUACUUGACUAGCUCGUUAAUCAAAGAUGGUUAUGUUUCCUAACCAUAGACAUGUGUUGUCAUUUGAUGAACGGGAUCACAUCAUUAGCGAAUGAUGUGAUGGACAAGACCCAUCCGUUAGCUUAGCAUUAUGAUCGUUGAGUUUUAUUGCUAUUGCUUUCUUCAUGACUUAUAUAUGUUCCUUUGACUAUGAGAUUAUGCAACUCCCAAAUACCGGAGGAACACCUUGUGUGCUAUCAAACGUCACAAUGUAACUGGGUGAUUAUAAAGUUGCUCAACAGGUGUCUCCGAAGGUGUUUGUUGGAUUGGCAUAGAUCGAGAUUAGGAUUUGUUACUCCGUGUAUCGAAGAGGUAUCUCUGGGCCCUCUCGGUAAUGAUCAUCACUAUAAGCCUUGCAAGCAAUGUGAUUAAUGAGUUAGUUACAGGAUGAUGCAUUACGGAAUGAGUAAAGAGACUUGCCGGUAACGAGAUUAAACUAGGUAUGUUGAUACCGACGAUCGAAUCUCGGGCAAGUAACAUACCGAUGACAAAUGGAACAACGUAUGUUGAUAUGCGGUUUGACAGAUAAAGAUCUUCGUAGAAUAUGUAGGAACCAAUAUGAGCAUCCAGGUUCCACCAUUGGUUAUUGACCGGAGAUGUGUCUCGGUCAUGUCUACAUAGUUCUCGAACCCGUAGGGUCCGCACGCUUAACGUUUGAUGACGAUUUGUAUUAUGAGUUAUGUGAUUUGAUGACCGAAGUUUGUUCGGAGUCCCAGAUGAGAUCACGGACAUGACGAGGAGUCUCAAAAUGGUCGAGACGUAAAGAUCGAUAUAUUGGAAGGCUAUAUUCGGACAUCGGAAAGGUUCUGAGUUGUUCGGGUAUUUUUCGGAGUACCAGAGAGUUACGGGAAUUCGCCGGGGGAAGUAUUGGGCCUUCAUGGGCCUUAGUGGAAAGGAGAGAAGGUCCACAAGGGGAGGCCGCGUGCCCCCCCCCCCCAUGGGCUGGUCCGAAUUGGACUAGGGAGGGGGCGGCGCCCCCCUCUUUCCUUCUCCCUCUCCUACUCCUUCCCUCUCUCCCCUCUUGGAAAAGGAAGGGGACUCCAACUAGGAUUGGGAAUCCUAGUUGGAAUCCCCUAUAGGCGCGCCCUGUUGGGGAACGUAGUAUUUCAAAAAAAUUGCCUACAAUCACGCAAGAUCUAUCUAGGAGAAGCAUAGCAACGAGCGGGGAGAGUGUGUCUAUGUACCCUCGUAGACCGAAAGCGGAAGCAUUUAGUAACGCGGUUGAUGUAGUCGGACGUCUUCGCGAUCCAACCGAUCCAAGUACCGAACGCAUGGCACCUCCAUGAUCUGCACACGUUCAGCUCGGUGACGUCCCUCGAACUCUUGAUCCAGUUGAGGCCGAGGGAGAGUUUCGUCAGCACGACGGCGUGGUGACGGUGAUGAUGAAGUUACCGGCGCAGGGCUUCGCCUAAGCACUACGACGAUAUGACCAAGGUGUGUAACUGGGGGGGGCACCGCACACGGCUAAGACCAAUCUUCAACUUGUGUUCUAGGGUGCCCCCUUGCCCCCGUAUAUAAAGGAGCAAGGGGAGGGGGCCGACGGCCUCAUAGGGAGCGCCCAAGGGGGGAAUCCUACUCCUACUAGGAGUAGGUUCCCCCUUUCCUAGUCCAACUAGGAGGGGAAGGAAAGAGGAGGAGGGGAGAAGGAAAGAGGGGGCCGCCCCCCAAGCCCUAAGCCAAUUCGGUUUGGGCCUAGGGGGGCGCGCCCCACAGCUCCCUUGCUGCCCUCUAUUUCCAUUAAGGCCCAUUGACCCCCCGGGGGGUUCCGGUAACUCCCCGGUACUCCGGUAUUUAUCCGGUGAUCCCCGGAACCUUUCCGGUGUCCAAAUGUAACAUUCCAAUAUAUCAAUCUUUAUGUCUCGACCAUUUCAAGACUCCUCGUCAUGUCCAUGAUCUCAUCCGGGACUCUGAACAAUCUUCGGUACAUCAAAACACAUAAACUCAUAAUACCGAUCGUCAUCGAACGUUAAGCGUGCGGACCCUACGGGUUCGAGAACUAUGUAGACAUGACCGAGACUCAUCUCCGGUCAAUAACCAAUAGCAGAACCUGGAUGCUCAUAUUGGUUCCUACAUAUUCUAUGAAGAUCUUUAUCGGUCAAACCGCACAACAACAUACGUUGUUCCCUUUGUCAUCAGUAUGGUACUUGCCCGAGAUUCGAUCGCCGGUAUCUCAAUACAUCGUUCAAUCUCGUUACCGGCAAGUCUCUUUACUCGUCCCAUAAUGCAUCAUCCCGCAACUAACUCAUUAGUCACAUUGCUUGCAAGACUUAUAGUGAUGUGCAUUACCAAGAGGGCCCAGAGAUACCUCUCCGAUACACGGUGUGACAAAUCCUAAUCUCGAUCUAUGCCAGCCCAACAAACCCUUUGGAGACACCUGUAGAGCAUCUUUAUAAUCACCCAGUUACGUUGUGACGUUUGAUAGCACACAAAGUGUUCCUCCUGUAUUCGGGAGUUGCAUAAUCUCAUAGUUAAAGGAACAUGUAUAAGUCAUGAAGAAAGCAAUAGCAAGAAAACUAAACAAUCAUUAUGCCAAGCUAACGGAUGGGUCUUGUCCAUCACAUCAUUCUCUAAUGAUGUGAUCCUGUUCAUCAAAUGACAACACAUGUCUAUGGUCAGGAAACAUAACCAUCUUUGACAAACAUGCUAGUCAAGUAGAGGCAUACUAGGGACACUCUGUUUUUGUCUAUGUAUUCACACAUGUACUAAGUUUCCGGUUAAUACAAUUCUAGCCUGAAUAAUAAACAUUUAUCAUGAUAUAAGGGAAUAAAUAAUAAAUUUAUUAUUGCCUCUAGGGCAUAUUUCCUUCACGCCCCUCCUAGGCCGGCCUCCUCUUCCUCCUCCUUUAUAUACGUGGGCAGGGGGCACCCCAAAGACACACAAGUUGAUCUUUUAGCUGUGUGCGGUGCCCCCUCCACAGAAACACACCUCGGUCAUAUCGUCGUAGUGGUUAGGCGAAGCCCUGCGCCGGUAACUUCAUCAUCACCGUUGGCACGCCGUCGUGCUAACGAAACUCUCCCUCGGCCUCAACUGGAUCAAGAGUUCGAGGGACGUCACUGAGUUAAACGUGUGCAGAUCGCGGAGUUGCCGUGCGUUCGGUACUUGGAUCAGUUGGAUCACGAAAACGUUCGACGACAUCAACUGCGUUACUAAACGCUUCCGCUUUCGGUCUACAAGGGUACGUGGACACACUCUCCCCGCUCGUUGCUAUGCUUCUCCUAGAUAGAUCUUGCGUGAUCGUAGGAAUUUUUUUGAAAUACUACGUUCCCCUACAGUGGCAACUGAGCCAGGUCUAUGCAUAGAUGUUAUAUGCACGAGUAGAACACAAAGAGUUGUGGGCGAUAAUAGUCAUACUGCUUACUAGCAUGUCAUACUUUGAUUCGUCGGUAUUGUUGGAUGAAGUCGCCCAGACCGACAUUACAUGACCGCGUUCAUGAGACUGGUUCUACUGCCGUGCUUCGCACACAGGUGGCUAGUGGGUGUCUAUUUCUCCAACUUUAGUUGAAUCGAGUGUGACUACGCCCGGUCCUUGUUGAAGGUUAAAACAACAUACUUAACAAAAAAUCGUUGUGGUUUUGAUGCGUAGGUAAGAACAGUUCUUGCUAGAAGCCCGUAGCAGCCACGUAAAACUUGCAACAACAAAGUAGAGGACGUCUAACUUGUUUUUGCAGGGCUUGUUGUGAUGUGAUAUGGUCAAGACGUGAUGAUAUAUAAUUUGUUGUAUGAGAUGAUCAUGUUUUGUAACAGUUAUCGGCAACUGGCAGGAGCCAUAUGGUUGUCGCUUUAUUGUAUGAAAUGCAAUCGUCAUGUAAUUGCUUUACUUUAUCACUAAGCGGUAGCGAUAGUCGUAGAAGCAAUAGUUGGCGAGACAACAACGAUGCUUCGAUGGAGAUCAAGGUGUCAAGCCGGUGACGAUGGUGAUCAUGACUGUGCUUUGGAGAUGGAGAUCAAAGGCACAAGAUGAUGAUGGCCAUAUCAUAUCACUUAUUUGAUUGCGUGUGAUGUUUAUCUCUUUAUGCAUCUUAUUUUGCUUAGUACGGCGGUAGCAUUAUAAGAUGACCUCUCACUAAAUUUCAAGGUACAAGUGUUCUCCUUGAGUAUGCACCGUUGCUACAGUUCGUCGUGCCGAGACACCACGUGAUGAUCGGGUGUGAUAAGCUCUACGUUCACAUACAACGGGUGCAAGCCAGUUUUGCACACGCAGAAUACUCGGGUUAAACUUGAUGAGCCUAGCAUAUGCAGAUAUGGCCUCGGAACACUGAGACCGAACGGUCGAGCGUGAAUCAUAUAGUAGAUAUGAUCAACAUAGUGAUGUUCACCAUUGAAAACUACUCCAUCUCACGUGAUGAUCAGACAUGGUUUAGUUGAUAUGGAUCACGUGAUCACUUAGAUGAUUAGAGGGAUGUCUAUCUAAGUGGGAGUUCUUAAGUAAUAUGAUUAAUUGAACUUUAAUUUAUCAUGAACUUAGUACCUGAUAGUAUUUGCAUAUCUAUGUUGUAGAUCAAUUGCUUGCGAUGUAGCUUCCGGUUUAUUUUUGAUAUGUUCCUAGAGAAAAAUAAGUUGAAAGGUAAUAGUAGCAAUGAUGCGGACUUGGUCCGUGAUCUGAGGAUUAUCCUCAUUGCUGUACAUAAUAAUUAUGUCCUUGAUGCACCGCUAGGUCACAGACCUAUUGCAGGAGCAGAUGCACGUUAUGAACGUUUGACAAAGCUCGGUAUGAUGACUACUUAAUAGUUUAGUGCACCAUGCUUUACGGCUUAGAACCGGGACUUCAAAAACGUUUUGAAUGCCACGGAGCAUAUAAGAUGUUCUAAGAGUUGAAAUUGGUAUUUCAUACUCAUGCUCGUGUCGAGAGGUAUGAGACCUCUGACAGUACUUUGCCUACAAGAUGGAGGAGAAUAACUCAACCAGUGAGCAUGCGCUCAGAUUGUCUGGGUACUACAAUUUCUUGAAUCAAGUGGGAGUUAAUCUUCCAGAUAAGAUAGUAAUUGAAAAAGUUCUCUAGUCACUAUCACCAAGUUAUUAGAACUUAGUGAUGAACUAUAAUAUGCAAGGGAUGACGAAAGUAAUUCCCAAGCUCUUCGCGAUGCUGAAAUCGGCGAAGGUAGAAAUCAAGAAAUAGCUUCAAGUGUUGAUGGUUAACAAGACCACUAGUUUCAAGAAAAGGGCAAAGGGAAAGAAAGAGGAACUUCAAAGAAGAAUAGCAAGCAAGUUGCUGCUCCCAUGAAGAAUCCCAAAGCUAGACCCAAGCCUGGAACUGAGUGCUUCUACUGCAAAGGAAAUGGUCACUGGAAGUGGAACUGCCCUAGAUACUUGGCGGAUAAGAAGGAUGGCAAAGUGAACAAAAGUAUAUUUGAUAUACAUAUUAUUGAUGUGUACUUUACUAGUGUUUAUAGCAACCCCUCAGUAUUUGAUACUGGUUCAGUUGCUAAGAGUAGUAACUCGAAAUGGGAGUUGCAAAAUAAACAGAGACUAGUUAAGGGCGAGGUGAUGAUGUGAGUUGGAAGUGAUUCCAAGGUUGAUAAGAUCACCAUCGCACACUCCCUUUACCUUCGGGAUUAGUGUUGAACCUAAAAUAAAUGUUAUUUGGUGUUUGCGUUGAGCACAAAUAUGAUUGGAUCAUGUUUAUUCCAAUACGGUUAUUCAUUUAAGUCAAAGAAUAAUUGUUGUUCUAUUUACAUGAAUAAAAUCUUCUAUGGUCAUACACUCAAUAUAAAUGGUUUAUUGAAUCUCGAUCGUAGUAAUAUACAUAUUCAUAAUAUUGAAGCCAAAAGAUGCAAAGUUAAUAAUGAUAGUGCAACUCAUAUGUCGCACUGCCGUUUAGGUCAUAUUGUUGCAAAGCGCAUGAAGAAACUCCAUGCUGAUGGACUUUUGGAAUCACUUGAUGCUUGCGAACCAUGCCUCAUGGGGAAGAUGACUAAGACUCCGUUCUCCGGAACAAUGGAGCAAGCAACUGACUUAUUGGAAAUAAUACAUACUGAUGUAUGCGGUCCGAUGAGUGUUGAGGCUUGCGGCGGGUAUCAUUAUUUUCUGACCUUCACAGAUAAUUUGAGCAAAUAUGGGUAUAUCUGCUUGAUGAAACAUAAGUCUGAAACAUUUGAAAAGUUCAAAGAAUUUCAGAGUGAAGUAGAAAAUCAUUAUAACAAGAAAAUAAGGUUUCUACGAUAUGAUCGUGAGGUGAAUAUUUGAGUUAUGAGUUUGUUCUUCAUUUGGAAUGAUGUGGAAUAGUUUCGCAACUCACGCCACGUGGAACACCAUAUAUAGCGUAAUGGUGUGUCCGAACGUCAUAACCGUACUUUAUUAGAUAUGGUGUGAUCUAUGAUGUCUCUUACCGAUUUACCACUAUCGUUUUAGGGUUAUGCAUUAGAGACAACCGCAUUCACGUUAAAUAGGGCACCAUCUAAAUCCGUUGAGACGACAUCAUAUGAACUGUGGUUUGGCAAGAAACCUAAGCUAUCGUUUCUUAAAGUUUGGGGCGGCAAUGCUUACCUGAAAAAGUUUCAACCUGAUAAGCUCGAACCCAAAUCGGAGAAAUAUGUCUUCAUAAGAUACCCAAAGGAAACUGUUGGGUACACCUUCUAUCACAGAUCCGAAGGCAAGAUAUUCGUUGCUAAAAAUAGGAUACUUUCUAGAGAAGUAGUUUCUCUCGAAAGAAGUGAGUGGGAGGAAAGUAGAACUUGAUGAGGUAAUUGUACCUGCUCUCUUAUUGGAAAGUAGUUCAUCACAUAAAUCAGUUCCAGUGAUUCCUACACCAAUAAGUGAGGAAGCUAAUAAUGAUGAUCAUGAAGCUUCUGAUCAAGUUACUACCGAACCUCGUAGAUCAACCAGAGUAAGAUCCGCACCAGAGUGGUACGGUAAUUCUGUUCUGGACGUCAUGUUACUUGACCAUGACGAACCUACGAACUAUGAGGAAGCGAUGAUGAGCCCAGAUUCCGCGAAAUGGCUUGAGGCAAUGAAAUCUGAGAUGGGAUCCAUGCAUGAGAACAAAGUAUGGACUUUGAUUGACUUGCCCGAUGAUCGGCAAGCCAUUGAGAAUAAAUGGAUCUUCAAGAGGAAGACAUACAUUGAUAGUAGUGUUACUAUCUACAAAGCUCGAAUUGUCACAAAAAGGUUUUCGACAAGUUCAAGGUGUUGACCACGAUAAGAUUUUCUUACUCAUAGCGAUGCUUAAGUCUGUCCGAAUCAUGUUAGCAAUUGCCACAUUUUAUGAAAUCUGGCAAAUGGAUGUCAAAACUACAUUCCUUAAUGGAUUUCUUAAAGAAGAGUUGUAUAUGAUGCAACAAGAAGGUUUUGUCAAUCCUAAAGGUGCUAGGAAAGUAUGCAAGCUCCAGCGAUCCAUCUAUGGACUGGAGCAAGCAUCUCGGAGUUGGAAUAUAUGCUUUGAUAAGUUGAUCAAAGCAUAUAGUUUUAUACAGACUUGCAAUGAAGCCUGUAUUUACAAGAAAGUGAGUGGAAGCACUACAGCCUUUCUGAUAAGUAUAUAUGAAUGACAUAUUGUUGAUCGGGAAUGAUGUAGAAUUUUCUGGAAAGCAUAAAAGGAGUGUUUGAAAGGAGUUUUUCAAAGAAAUACCUCGGUGAAGCUACUUACAUAUUGGGCAUCAAGAUCUAUAGAGAUAGAUCAAGACGCUUGAUAUGAUUUUUCAAUGAGUACAUACCUUGACAAGAUUUUUGAAGUAGUUCAAAAUGGAACAGUCAAAGAAGAAGUUCUUGCCUGUAUUGCAUGGUGUAAAGUUGAGUAAGACUCAAAACACGACCACGGCAGAAAAUAGAAAGAGAAUGAAAGUCAUUCCCUAUGCCUCAGCCAUAUGUUCUAUAAAGUAUGCUAUGCCGUGUACCAAACCUUUUGUGUACCUUGCCAUGAGUUUGGCAAAGGGGUACGAUAUUGAUCCAGGAGUGGAUCACUUGACAACGGUCAAAAUUAUCCUUAGAACACUAAGGAGAUAUUUCUCGGUUAUGGAGGUGAUAAAGAGUUCGUCGUAAAGAGUUACGCCGAUGCAAGCUUUUACACCGAUCCGGAUGACUCUGAGUCUCAAUAUGGAUACAUAUUGAAAGUGGGAGCAAUUAGCUAGAGUAGCUCCAUGCAGAGGAUUGUAGACAUAGAAAAUUUGCAAAAUACAUACGGCUCUAAAUGUGACAGAUCCAUUGACUAAGCUUCUCUCACAAGCAAAACAUGAUCACACCUUAGUACUCUUUGGGUGUUAAUCACAUAGCAAUGUGAGCUAGAUUAUUGACUUUAGUAAAACCCUUUGGGUAUUAGUCACAUGGCGAUGUGAACUAUUGGUGUUAAAUCACAUGGCUAUGUGAACUAGAUUAUUGACUCUAGUGCAAGUGGGAGACUGAAGGAAAUAUGCCCUAGAGGCAAUAAUAAAGUUGUUAUUUAUAUCUCCUUAUAUCAUGAUAAAUGUUUAUUAUUCAUGCUAGAAUUGUAUUAACCGGAAACUUAGGACAUGUGUGAAUACAUAGACAAAACAGACUGUCCCUAGUAUGCCUCUACUUGAUUAGCUCGUUAAUCAAAGAUGGUUAUGUUUCCUAACCAUAGACAUGUGUUGUCAUUUGAUGAACGGGAUCACAUCAUUAGAGAAUGAUGUCAUGGACAAGACCCAUCCGUUAGCUUAACAUUAUGAUCGUUGAGUUUUAUUGCUAUUGCUUUCUUCAUGACUUAUACAUGCUCCUCUGACUAUGAGAUUAUGCAACUCCCGAAUACCGAAGGAACACCUUGUGUGCUAUCAAACGUCACAACGUAACUGGAUGAUUAUAAAAAUGCUCUACAGGUGUCUCUGAGGGUGUUUGUUGGGUUGGCAUAGAUCGAGAUUAGGAUUUGUCACUCCGUGUAUCGGAGAGGUAUCUCUGGGCCCUCUCGGUGAUGAUCAUCACUAUAAGCCUUGCAAGCAAUGUGACUAAUGAGUUAGUUAUAGGAUGAUGCAUUACAGAACGAGUAAAGAGACUUGCCGGUAAUGAGAUUGAACUAGGUAUGUUGAUACCGACGAUCGAAUCUCGGGCAAGUAACAUACCGAUGACAAAGGGAACAAUGUAUGUUGUUAUGCGGUUUGACCGAUAAAGAUCUUCAUAGAAUAUGUAGGAACCAAUAUGAGCAUCCAGGUUCCACCAUUGGUUAUUGACCAGAGAUGUGUCUCGGUCAUGUCUACAUAGUUCUCGAACCCGUAGGGUCCGCACGCUUAACGUUUGAUGACGAUUUGUAUUAUGAGUUAUGUGAUUUGAUGACCGAAGUUUGUUCGGAGUCCCAGAUGAGAUCACGGACAUGACGAGGAGUCUCAAAAUGGUCGAGACGUAAAGAUCGAUAUAUUGAAAGGCUAUAUUCGGACAUUGGAAAGGUUCUGAGUUGUUCAGGUAUUUUUCGGAGUACCAGAGAGUUAUGGGAAGUCGUCGGGGGAAGUAUUGGGCCUUCAUGGGCCUUACUGGAAAGGAGAGAAGGGCCACAAGGGGAGGCCGCACGCCCCCCCAUGGGCUGGUCCGAAUUGGAGCUUCCUCAAGUCACCAUCAGUUCCUCGAUGACCGCUGUCAGUGUCAUCCCUGUGGCACUGCUCUGCUUCUGCAGCAUCUUCCAGCCGGCGGCGUCGUCCUCCUUCUCAGCGAGCGCCUUGAGGAGCUUCGCAUUUUCACCCAUGAGUUGCUCGACGAGGCCGGUCGCCUUGUCAACCGAGGCAUCGCUGAUCUUGAGCAGCUUCAUCAAGCCGUCGACCAGCUCCUGCUGCUUAGUGACGCCAGCGAGAAUGUUGUCGUCGCCGGCGAAGGACUUCAGGAACGCCAGCUCGUCACGAUGGCCAACGCCGUGAAUGCGCUUGUGAGAGCCCUCGCGUGCCCGUGAGAGCUCGUUCGAGGGCUCCGCGGCGAGCCGGGACAUCUCUGCUGCGGCUGCGGCUUCGCGACGAGACCUCUCUAGUGCUUCCGCGGCCUUGGUCUUUGCUGCCUGGUUAUAUGUCCACCCUAAGCUCCUCCUACCGGUCAUGGCGGAACGAUUUGACAGGAAAGAUCAAUUUUGUGGGUGAUGAGGAGAGGAACUAUGAAGUAAUUUUCGAGUGGGUAGUUUUAAUAGCCUGGUGCUAAGUGUGAACACAUAUUAGUUUAAUAGGUGUGAACAGAUUUGCAAUUACUUAUUGCGUUGUAAUCUGCAAUGUGAUGAGAAACAAGGUCAAAAUUUAUUGAUGGCAGAAGGUUGAUCACGUGGUUGCUCGCCGCUGAGGCGGCCGCGGCGCGCUCUGCUCACGUCCGUCCGAGCGUUUUGCUCGCCAUUGAGGCGUCUGCGGGGCGCUCCGUUCAUCCGAGUCGGCUGUUUGCCAUGUAUCACACACAUCUUGUUAAGUUGAAGCGUUUCUGUUGUGUUCCCUAAUCGAAAACAUAUCGUUCAAGUGAACCGUAUGCCGUAUAUCACACACACAUUGAUCUGGCUAACCGUUUCUGUUGCACUCCUAAUAGCAAACAGUUCAUCGAAGCGAACUGUAUGCCAUAUAUCGCACACACAUUGAUAUGACUGCCCGUUUCUGUUGUUCUGCCUCAUCGCAAACAGUUCGAAUGGAUUAACUGUGUGCCCUGCAUCGCACACGCAACUAAAAUCUGAAACGUGUUUGAUGGCUCCGCCAUCGCAAAUGUUUUGCACCUUUUUUGACAGUUUUUUACAUCCCCGUUUGCGAUUAAUGCAUCGCACACAGUUUCGUGAAAGGGUCUCUGAUCGUAGUGUCGCGUUAGCAGCAUCCUGCUAUAGUGUUAAUGCCGAGCGGAUUAGAUCAUAUUUAGAGAAGGGCCCUUUUCCCAGACUUACACCACUCCCGCAUCCACAUGUGUAGAGCCACUUGAAACUUAACGAAACUGAUAUCGACUGGCUAGCACUAGCCCUAGUUAAAGCCGUCGCUAAGUCAACAGAAAAUUUACAUUGAGUAGGGUAGACAUAACAUCAAGAGCUCAUCCCUUUGUGCUUUUGCCAACGCGAAGCAACAAAUAGUUACUGAAAAUAGAAACUCGAGAGGCAAAGCAACAAAUAGUUCCUGCAAAACAUAAACUUGAGAUGCAUGGUGGCAAUUGGUAGCAGAGAUGCAACAUUCCAAAACCAUUAUUGGGUAGCACAACAUCAACCUCAUAAGUUAUUUUCCGGGUUUUUUAUUUGACUCAAACUCAUGGAAUGCCCAUCCAUGAUCACUAUCUUCAACCUCUCUUUCUCUUGCUACCCCUUUUCCUGACGCUUCUCCUCAUCGGUAACGCCAAAAUAUCCUUUCUCCCGUUGUUGCACCAUUGUUGGAGUCGCUCCCGAGCUCCUCUUCGAACUCAGUCGGAGUCGGAGUCCUCGUCAUCCGUCGACAUGCCUUUCAGGCCGCCCACGCGCUGCAGAAUAGCACAAAGCUCAACAAGGUGAUCAUCCAUUUUGGCUACAUGCCAAGUCUCUGUCAUGCGAACAGAGAGAAACUGAAAGCCAAAAACACUGAAAGCAAAACGUUCAAUUGGUUUGGCUGCGAUUCUGUCCCCAAGACGGUACUAGGAAAAUUAAGUCUUCAAUACAAAGUACUUCCUCCAUCCAAAUUGUCAGCCCCGCUCGUAUCUUAAAACAAUUUUCAAUAUAGAUGUCACUUGCAAAAUAUGUGAUAUACUAUAAUAAUUGUAUUUUCAGAUUUGUAUUUGAAAGAAGUUUCUAAUAAUAUAUUUUUUGUUAAACAUAUAACUCAUAUUUUGUAAGUUGAAUUUAUGAUAGAAAUUUAACUCAAACUCUAGUGAUAAAUUUCUAGAACCAAAAACACUGAAGUCGUGUUAUAAAUCUCUAGAAAUCUAAUUACAAUGCGAAAUUUAGAAAUAACAUACGCAGUUGGAUCUAAACAACUAAUAUAAUUAUAAUCCUAACGAGGUGAAUCACAAUCAAAUAUAUAAUUCAUCAAGAAUAACAAAAUCAUGGUGAUGAAGUGAAGUGCAAAUAGCAGUGGAAAAGCUAGUCAGUACCUUCUCGGACUUCUUUUCCUUGACUUUGUACCUGGUCCUGUUGGCCUGCCAGAGCCACUCCCCUGGGCAGAUGUUCUGCACGCACGAACAGAUCGUGUCAGUGAUACCAAAACGAAUCCAUGAAACAAAGGCAAAAUUAAUAAAAAAAAUCUUUGGGCAUGCAUGCAUACGUUGACUUGCUUCUGGACUAUCCCGGGGCGCCUGUGGGGGAACCGCGGCAGCCUGGUGACCGUCAUGGCCAGCCAGUCCUCCUCUUUCUCCUCGUGCGUCAGCUGCGUGACGACCCGCGGCACCACCGGCCUCGCCAUGGCCGCCUUCUCCUCCUCCUCCUCCUCAACGUGUGGCGGCACCUCCACCAUGGGCGCCUUCCCUUUCUGCUCCGCUGUCGCCUUGAUCGACUCCUGACGCUGCUGCUUCUUAGGCUCCACUUUGGGCGCUGGCUGCUGCUUCUCCUCCUCCACCGCUGGCUGCUGCUUCUCCUCCUUCGCCCCUGCCUGCUUCUCGCCGGCGGCGGUGUGAGGUUCCUCCGAAGAACUGGUCAACAUCAAUUUUUGCAUUAGUAGAACGAUCGAUGACACGACCAGAACUCAAAAAAGCUUAUCUCUUACGGCAACGUUGCGGCGUUGUUGGGUUGAAACUUGAAAGGGAGGGUCUGGGUGACACGAUCAAAACGAUCGACCACAUGAAAUAGAACAACAGAACUAACGCAGGACUAUGUAUGUUGUACGUAGUAGUAUCAAUCUAUUUUGCGCCGGUGAUGUCACCGGUUCGUCCCUUCCUUGCACCGCGUACAUGCAAACAAUGGGUUAGAUAGAAACUAUUAAUGUGGCAUUAGUGCCAGAGUGUACGCGGAUGGAUAUGCAAGCUCACUGGAUAGAUACUCGAUAUAUAAUGCUGGACAUUGGCCAGAUUAUCUAUCCUCGGGAUAAUCUGGUGACGCUUAAUGUGACGUUAGUACUCUACUGGUAGUGGAAACAAAACAUGAUUAAAAUAAACUUCGGUUUCUAAAGAUGAAAAUAGAAGACUACAAAAAGUGUUUAAAAAAAUUCGAAACAAACGCAAAAGAUUUGCCUCAUCUUGUCAAUAAAGAAGAAGGUUACUAGAGGUUUAAGGGAGGAGGCCAUUACUCCUUCACAAAUGGACAAAAAAGGCAUACUCUCGUGGCAUAAUGGAACCCAGGUGCCUUGCACUAGUGGGUGGUUACCCAAAGCAUGGCCUCGGCCUUAUUGAGCGCGAAGACGAUCAUCAGCAUGUUAGAUGGCGAAAAUGAAUCGUUGAUUCAGGAUCGCUAGGCCCUAGCCUUGUCGUCUGCUGGUAAUUCGCAUGGCCCUUUUGAGGCAUGGAUUGUGCUUGCGGCAAAUUUACGCGUUUUGUACGUGUUUUUUNNNNNNNNNNNNNNNNNNNNNNNNNNNNNNNNNNNNNNNNNNNNNNNNNNNNNAACGUGGGAACUCUUGACAAGGCUUUGCGCAAGCAGUUAGUGGCCAAAUUGGCAAUGCUAGAUGCCCAGGCUGAUCAAUGUGUGUUCUUGCCGAACGGGAACAUAGAUACGCCACCGAGAACAAGGUCCGCGCUAUCCUUCACACGGAGGAAGAGUACUCACGUCAUAGAGGUGGGGUCAAGUGGAUUACCAAAGGGGAUGCAAACACACGCUACUUUCAUGCAUAAGCGAAUGGCCGUCGGCGUAAGUGCUCCAUCCAGCGUCCGCAAUCGGAGCAGGGCGUAUCUAUAGUUUCUACAUUAGCUGGACAGGCUCGGAUGAGCCCAAAUUGGUUGUGCUGCACUCUAAUCUGCGGGUUAACUCGCAGUGCAUUUCGCAUGAGGAAAAUGCUAGAUUAUGUGCUCCUUCCUGGCUCAAGAGAUCGACGCGGAGCUUCUCUCCAUGGAACUGGAUAGGGUGUCCGGUCUAGACGGUUGGUCGGUUGCCUUCUUUCACAUGUUCUUGAAUUUUCUGAAGGGCCCUUUGCUUGUCAUCUGCACUGGUUUCACGGUUGGUAUGCUUGACAUAUCUAGGUUAAAAUUUGGCGUGCUUCCGUUAAUUUUGAAGUCAAGGGGGCUGAUAAAACAUUUGCCAAUUUCGCCCGAUAGCGCUGAUCAACGUUCCUUUUAAAAUCCGUUGUAAAAAGCCUAUGCCUCACGUCCCUCUCCGAUGGCCCAUCGUGUCAUAAAUUGAUGUCGAUCCGCGUUUGUCAAAGACUGUUACAUCCUUGAAGGGUCAGUGGCGUUGCAUGAGAAAAUGCACGGAGUUAAGAGAUGUAGACAAUAGGCUACCCUACUUAAGUUAGAUAUCAAAAAAAGCUUAUGAUUGUGUCAGCUGGGUAUUUCUCCACGAGGUUUUUCUUCACAGUGGUUUUGAGGCUAGGUGGGUUCAACAAGCGUGGGUUGAUACAAGGCAAUCCCUCUACCGCUUGCUCUUUAACUUCGUUGUUGAGGCACUCUCGGCAAUGCUCGAUAGGGAUCAAGCUACUAGGCAUAUGAAGGGGGGGUGGCCCACCUUAUCCCUAGGGGAUGUGCAACUGCAAUACAUAGAUGACACAAUGAUGUUGUUCGAACCGGACCAGCUUAGUAUUGCCCCGGUAAAACUAAUCCUUCUAUGUUUUGAGGCAAUGUCGGGGAUGAAGGUUAAUUUCCAUAAGUCCAAGGGGAUGGAUCACUUGGAGGAAUAUCAGGUUCCAAGUUAGGACACUUCCCAAUCUCGUACUUAGGGGUUCCCAAUUAAUAACACGAACAUUACAAUCUCUGAUGGCGAGGCGUUGUGUUGCUCGGUAGCUAAGUGGGUUUGCCCGUGGCAUGCAAGGUCAUGUCUUCGCGCGCCAGGCUGAUCUUAACAAAUUUGAGCAUCUCCUAUCUUACCAUAUCCAUGACGGGCUUGUUCCUUCUAGCUGAUGGGGCUCACGCCAAACUGGACAUGUCGCGCUCCAAGUUCUUUUGGGAAGGAGGUGGAGCCAAGAGGAAAUACCAUGAGGUUAAGUGAGCGACAGUUUACCGUCCUAAAAAGUCAGGAGGCUUGGGCAUAAUAAAUCUCAAACUUAUGAACAUUUUCCUUUUAUCCAAGUGGGUUUGGAAGCUCUCCCAAAAUGCUAGUGAGCUUUGGGUAAGCUUUUCAAGGCAAGGUAUUUCCCGGACUGCUCUUUUGUUUUGAAUCUAAGGUUUGUGGCUACCCAUUUUGGAAUGGGAUCCAAGCGGUUAAGCCGGCUUUCACUUUGGGGGCAAAGUUUUCGACUGGGAAUGGCAAGCCCAUCCGUAUUUUUGUUUGACUAUUGGCUGGAUUUCCAGCUGCUUUGGAUGGAAUUAUGUGCUCUGUACUCCAUAAUAGUGGAGCCGGAUAUCUCGGUAGCCGAGGCAUUUCUCUUCUCCCCCUAGUUGUAGCAUUUCAUCAUGAGCUAACCACUAUUGAGAAUGCUAGUCGGAACUCUCUUUGGGAUAGGCUCCAAUACAUGCUCAUGUCCAGUGGUGAGGACGUGGUUACGAGACACGAUUACUAGCUCUAGCCAGUUCUCGGUAAAAUCACUCUAUGCACAACUAUCUAAAACUUCUUCACUUUUUGUCAUGUGCCAUAUUUGGAAGGCCACUACGGCUCAAAGUUAAAAUAUUCUUGUGGCAAAUGUUUAGAAACCACCUGCCGACGUCUAACAAUAUAGUUAAGCGCAAUGACCGUUUGGACGCCCAUUGUGCUUUGUGUGUGGUGUGGAAGGACGCCAACCACGUCUUCUUUAGAUAUCAUUUUUCGCGCUUUCUGUGGAGUGCAGUUCGUGAAGCUUCGGAGCUGCAUUGGGAUCUAGCCUCUAGUGCAGAGUUGAUCUUGCUAUUGAACUCGUUACGUGGCGUGUCCAAACACGUAAUGUGGCCAUAUGUAGAGCCACUGUUAUGGGCCAUUCGGCAAAACGACAACAAAAUUACGAUUGAGGUUGCCCUCCCUCUCCCCGCUGACCGCUUUUUCCAGUGCAAUGUUUACCUGCAGCAGUGGAUGCUGCUUGGGAAGCGAAGCGACGUUGAUAGCAUAGUGUUGGCGAUCAACAAGCUAUGACGGGUCUACUCGAUAGCUCAUUCAUCUCCGCCGGUGUGUUAGGGUCAUGGCAUCCUUUUGGAUCCUCCCCGAGCCUGCGGGCUCUGCCUUGGUUUGAUGCCCUAGUGAUUUAUGUCGUACUCGGGAAACCAAGUUUCCUCUAUGUGGUGUGACUUGUUUGUAUAUUGUCGGUGUGUAGGCUUUAUUAAGUUUAUGCCAGACACUUUUGUUAUCUUCAUUCGACCUCGCAUUCCUCUCAUUCCAAAGUUCCCACACAACGAGCAUGAUGGUGGAGGCUAUCUCUUUCCUACUUUGGCCACGACCGAGAGUACCGUGGUAGUCCACCCCAUUGAGCGAUGUUCAACUCCAAGGAGGCAAGCCAUGCCUUUAAAACCUUGAAAACACAGAUGGAGGGUUUGCACUUGAACAAAAUGUGUGUAGCGGACUCAAGCUUCCUCCUAAAAAGUUGACUGAAGCUAGUUUGGACAUCCUCUCCUCUCUAGACUCGGUAGUCGAAAAUCAUAUUCUUGAUGGCAAGUCAUGCAAAAAACUUGCACUUGGGGGCACCCACUUAUGAAAUGUUGCAUGCUUAAUCAAAAUGGUGAUGGACCCCUCAGCGGAAGCAGCAGAGUAGAUGCCAUUUGCCGCAAGCUUCCAAACGAUGUUAUUGGCGGUCUCUUGCUGAAGAUGAACAUGAUCAAGCAUAGCCCAAAGAGCGCAAACUUGAUUGAUGUGAUAAAUUAUGAGUCCCGUGGACAUGUCAAUUCUCCUCAGCCAACCAUUGUCGUGGAGAGUGUGAUGAGGACCGAACCUCGAGGCAAGAUCUGGUCUAUCAUCACAACCCUAUCUUUCACGGCCGUCCACCUUCAGUGCAGUAGCCUCUUGCCCCGCACGUGGUGUACACGAAGUAGAGGGUUUGAACCUUGCGGUUGAACACAAUAUAACCAAUCUAGAAGAUGGAAACUCAUGCACAAGACAAUUUUUAUGCAGAAAUCACAAUAUACAGGUCUUCAAAGAUUCCUCCAAAACAUAGGAUUUUCAGACAGCUUCCCUCAAAACUCGAUAUGGGUAUUUUUCUGCAAUAUAUGUCUAUUUACUCAAAAUAACUUGUUUAGUUACAUGGCACACAACAUAGGCUUUAAUACAUGACCCAACUAACUUAGCUUGGAAAGAAAGUUGAUUGCCCAACUAAAUCUCAUGUACAUGCUCAAGAAUUGCCUAAAAUCUAUCAACUAUUAGAUUUCUUAGUUUAUAGGUUAGCAAGACAAGCUUUACAACCCAAAUCAAACACCUUAGAUUUCUAUCGUAAAUAAAUACGACUUCUUUUAAAUUGGUGCGUCACAGUGAUGUUGUUCAAACCGGACCAGCUUAGUAUUGCCUCGGUAAAACCAAUCCUUCUAUGUUUUGAGGCAAUGUCGGGGAUGAAGGUUAAUUUCCAUAAGUCCAAGGGCAUGGAUCACUAGGAGGAAUAUCAGGUUCCAAGUUAGGAGACUUCCCAAUUUCGUACUUAGGGUUCCCAAUUAAUAACAAGAACCUUAAAAUCUCUGAUGGCAAGGCGUUGUGUUGUUCGGUAGCUAAGAGGGUUUGCCCGUGGCAUGCAAGGUCAUGUCUUCGGGCGCCAGCCUGAUCUUAACAAAUUUGAGCAUCUCCUAUCUUACCAUAUCCAUGAUGGGCUUGUUCCUUCUAGAUGAUGGGGCUCACGCCAAACUGGACAUGUCACGCUCCAAGUUCUUUUGGGAAGGAGCUGGAGCCAAGAGGAAAUACCAUGAGGUUAAGUGAGUGACAGUUUACCGUCCAAAAAAUUCAGGAGGCUUUGGCAUAAUUAAUUUGAAACUUAUGAGCAUUCCAUUUUAUAUAAGUGGGUUUGGAAGCUCUCCCAAUAUGCUUUUUCCAAGCAAAGUAUUUCCCGGACUGCUCUUUUGUUUUGAAUCUAAGGUUUGUGGCUGCCCAUUUUGGAAUGGGCUUUCAAUUUGGAGGCAAAGUUUUCGACUGGGAAUGGCAAGCCCAUCCGUAUUUUUGUUUGACUAUUGGCUGGAUUUGCAGCCGCUUUGGAUGGAAUUAUGUGCUAUGUACUCCAUAACAAUGGAGCCGGAUAUCUCGGUAGCCGAGGCAUUUCUCUUCUCCCCCUAGUUGUAGCCUUUCAUCGUGAGCUAACCACUAUUGAGAAUUCUAGUCGGAACUCUCUUUGGGAUAGGCUCCAAUACAUGCUCAUGUCCAGUGGUGAGUACGUGGUUACGAGGCACCUUACAAGCUCUAGCCAGUUCUCGGUAAAAUCGCUCUAUGCACAACUAUCUAAAACUUCUUCACUUUUUGUCAUGUGCCAUAUUUGGAAGGCCACUACCGCUCAAAGUUAAAAUAUUCUUAUGGCAAAUGUUUAGAAACCACCUGCUGACGUCUAACAAUAUAGUUAAGCGCAAUGACCGUUUGGACGCCCAUUGUGCUUUGUGUGUGGUGUGGAAGGACGCCAACCACGUCUUCUUCAGAUAUCCUUUUCGCGCUUUCUGUGGAGUGCAGUCCGUGAAGCUUCGGGGCUGCAUUGGGAUCUAGCCUCUGGUGCGGAGUUGAUCUUGCUAUUGAACUCGUUACCUGGCGUGUCCAAAUGCGUAAUGUGGCCAUAUGUAGAGCCACUGUUAUGGGCCAUUCGGCAAAACGACAAUAAAAUUAUGAUUGAGGUUGCCCUCCCUCACCCCGCUGACCACUUUUUCCAGUGCAAUGUUUACCUACAGCAGUGGAUGCUGCUUGGGAAGCGAAGCGAUGUUGAUAGCAUAGUGUUGGCGAUCAACAAGCUAUGACGGGUGUACUCGAUGGCUCGUUCAUCUCCGCCGGUGUGUUAGGGUCAUGGCAUCCUUUUGGAUCCUCCCCGAGCCUGCGGGCUCUGCCUUGGUUUGAUGCCCUAGUGAUUUAUCUCAUACCCAGGAAACCACGUUUCCUCUAUGUAAUGUGACUUGUUUGUAUAUUCCGGUGUGUAGGCUUUAUUAAGUUUAAGCCGGACACUUUUUUUAUCUUCAUUCUAAAAAGAACCUCGCAUUCCUCUCGUUCCAAAGUCCCCCCCCCCCACAAUGAGCAUGAUGGUGGAGGCUAUCUCUUUCCUACUUUGGCCACGACCGAGAGUACCGUGGUAGUCCACCCCAUUGAGCGAUGUUCAACUCCAAGGAGGCAAUCUAUGCCUUUAAAACCUCGAAAACACAGAUGGAGAGUUUGCACUUGAACAAAAUGUGUGGCGCGGACUCAAGCUUCCUCCUAAAAAGUUGACUCAGGCCACGGUUUGGACAUGCUCUCCUCUCUAGACUCGGUGGUCGAAAAUCAUAUUCUUGAUGACAAGUCAUGCAAAAAACUUGCACUUGGGGGCACCCACUUAUAAAACAUUGCAUGCUUAAUCAAAAUGGUGAUGGACCCCUUAGCGGAAGCAGCGGAGUAGAUGCCAUUUGCCGCAAGCUUCCAAACGAUGUUACUGGCGGUCUCUUGCUGAAGACGAACAUGAUCAAGCAUAGCCCAAAGAGCGCAAACUUGAUCGAUGUGAUAAAUUAUGAGUCCCGUGGACAUGUCAAUUCUCCUCAGCCAAGCAUUGUUGUGGAGAGUGUGAUGAGGAACGAACCUCGAGGCAAGAUCUGAUCUAUCAUCACAACCCUAUCUUUCAUGGCCGUCCACCUUCGGUGCAGUAGCCUCUUGCCCCGCACGUGGUGUACACGAAGUAGAGGGUUUGAACCUUGCGGUUGAACACAAUAUAACCAAUCUAGAAGAUGGAAACUCAUGCGCAAGACAAUUUCUAUGCAGAAAUCACAAUAUACAUGUCUUCAAAGAUUCCUCCAAAACAUAGGAUUUUCAGACAGCUUCCCUCAAAACUCAAUAUGGGUAUUUUUCUGCAAUAUAUGUCUAUUUCCUCAAAAUAACUUGUUGUUACAUGGCACACAAGAUAAGCUUUAAUACAUGACCCAACUAACUUAGCUUGGAAAGAAAGUUGAUUGCCCAACUAAAUCUCCUGUACAUGCUCAAAAAUUACCUAAAAUCUACCAACUAUUAGAUUUCUUAGUUUAUAGGUUAGCAAGAUAAUCUUUACAACCCAAAUCAAACACCUUAGGUUUCUAUCGUAAAUAAAUACGACUUCUUUUAAAUUGGUGCGUCAUUGUGGUAUACUGUGCAUGGUAGACCCCAACUGCAAGUCUUCCAACACAAUAUAUUCCAUGCAUGUGAACCUCUCAGCCUAAUCUCUCCUUGAUGUGAACGAAUAAAAAUAGCAAGUUCAUGCACCUUUCUCUUUAUACCGCGGCCCUUAAAUAAUCCAACCAUCUCUUCUUCAAAGUAGGAAGCCAAUCUCUUUGUUUUUGUCAUACACCUUUCACUUUCUACCAUGUCACGUAAAUAAUUCGACCAUCUCUUCUUCAAAGUAGGAAACUAAUCUCUAUUUUUUCAUCUCUAACUCUUAAAUUAUAACUAAGUUGUUGGUUUCCUUUUACUCAUAUGAUUGAUACGGUGGCUCUGAAAUGACAAAAUAGAAGCAUGGACUUCUCUUCUCCUCAGCUCGCCCACAUGCAUCGAUACCUGGUUUCUUCUUGCUCCCAAUUGAAGUUAUUUUUGUCCAGUCCGGGACAAAUACAUUAUUUCUCAUGUCCAACCCAUGCAAAGUAGAUGCAUGGAUUACGACUUAUGUACAAUGUGUGCAUUGGCGCUUUAUCAUCACAGACUGGAAUAACACUAAGAAAAUCAUGAACAUGUAUGGUCGUAUCAUCCUCUAGACCUUGAGACGAAACUGACCUCGGUUUUGAGUAAGUCCCUUCAGAGAUAUUUAAUUUGUAGAUUGAUCAGAGACCAUAGAAUUUCAAUAGCUUUGACCUUCUUCUUUUCUGCUUCUUUGUGAUCUUUUAUCUUCUCAAGGUGUUCUUUCCUCCAAGCAAUAAAAGGCUCAUCCUGCACGUGCACGAAGCCAUAUUUCUGACCCUCAUUAAUGUGAUAUGUGUUGGCGUGACUAUUAUAUUUAGCACGGUGUUCCUUGUACCAUGUAUCUCCCAACAACAAGUGACAUGAAACCAUCUAUACAGGGAACAUGUGGAACAUGACUUCUCAAAAGGAUUUUUUCAACAAAAGCGAUACCUUUGUUCAACAAGUAUGGUUGAGACCCUCGGCCUCUGCAUCAUUGUGAUGCACAAAACCAUAUAUUAAUUGUCAAGCGGAGUACUGAACAAAUGCAUCUCAGGCCGAAACAUUACAGGUUGUGAAAAAACACCUAGGACUAAAUCAACUUCUUCCGCAACAACGCCUUCAAGAAGGGAUAAACGUCCUCGCUUGUCAUAGCCACAUCCUAUCAAAGAUGGACCAGACAUGAUUUGCAUCAUGGUUGCCGUGACCAGCACCACAACAAGUAGAGAACACCUUCAACAAGGUAACAACGCAAGUUCGUCACUUGUAAGCAUGAUUAAUAAAGACCAGUACAAAAUAAUUCACCAUAGAUAUGAAGGAGUGUUUCAGUUAGCAUCUUCAUCAUGUAUGAGGGGAUAUUAACAUCCAUUAGUACUCCAUGUGAAUAAGGUUAAUCCACCUAAAGUCAGCGAAGCAUUCAUCACCAUUCUUCUUUGGGAGGAUCACAAUGUUGGCCGAAUUAAGCCGCUUAAUGUGCUCAAUAAUGAGUCUGGAAAAAUUAUUGAUCAUAGCCAUGAUGCCAUGCUUAAUUGUAGCACAACAAGCCUUGGAAAAAGCCCAGACAAAGCGAUCUGGAGAUCGAGACUUAUCCUUAGGCAUCUGUGCAAUGACGUCAAUCAUUUCCUUCUCUGUGAAAGGGUCUCCGAUGCCAGAGAGGUCGCAGAGAAAUAUAGAAUUUCCCAAUUAAAGGCUCAUUGACACCCCUGUGCUUUAUGCGACAUGGUGAAGAAAUGGUCUUGCACCACCCUUGCUUUAUCAUUGUCGAAAGUAAGCUAGCCGGCUCCCUGCCGAAUCUUGUCGAUGAAGUUAUUGUGCCUUCAAGCAUAGAUGCAGAGGUAAUUUGUUUGUAUUUGCAUCACCCUCCUUAAGGUUUGAAAUGAUCUUUCCAGACUCGUUAGAUCGACGACCCUCCACUUUAUCCUUUAUCUCAAAUCACUCUCCUCUAGUGAAAUCGGUAGGGAAUCUAUGUCUGUAUAGAAUCUAAGGAUGACCUCAAGUGCCAUGUACUACCGAAUCUUAAGGUAGAGAAAACGACAUUGCUCCAUCACCGAAGAUGGAUGUUUGUGCAAUUUAAUUUGUCAAAGAGCACCCUACACUACUCCUUGUGUGGCGAGGACUUCCCCCAAGCCUCCACAACAAAAUUCCAAAAAUGGGAAGCUUGACCCAAAAGUUCUCGAACUUGAAUGCACGUAGCUACUUCAGACCAUGGUCACUAGCAAGAAACAAGGGAAGAUGAUCCGAUAGGGCGGACGAGGGGGCAGCGAGCACAUGAUUUUCAAAAUGAAGAUCCCAAUAGGUGUUGCGGAAAUAGCUAUCCGGCUUGCAUAGGGUCGGAUCCGGCCGCUCAUUACACCAAGUGAACUUCCUAUUCUGCAGGUGGAUCUCUUUAAUCUCGCAUGGAUCAAGAGUACCGCAUAAGCGAGUGACGUGUCGAAUAUUAGUGUGCCUCCUUUGCAUCGUGCUCUAUAAAUUUGGUUAAAUUCACUUGUGACUAACCACAUGACACCAAGACAAAGUUUGUGGAUGAGGAGCUCUACAAAAGAACCAUCUUUCCGAAGAUAGGUCAUGGGUCCAUAGGCCGUAGUCAGCUUGAUCUCGAUCAUAGCUGAUAGAUGGAACACCUCGCUGGUGAUGCCAGAAGCAUCGAGCAUGUCGUUGUUCUAGAAAAGCAAAAUACCACCCCUAGUACCAAGGGCCGGUGUGACUGGAAAGUUCCUCAGCCUGACGUCACCAAAAUAAAUGAUAGUAGCAGCGUCAGUCGUUCCCAACUUGGGUUCUUGAAUGUGCACGAGUUUAUGAGAGGAUGUCACAAUCAUCUCAAGGAAAAUUGAUAUUCUAUCAUGAUAGUUUAGCCCCAUGACACUACAACUAAUGAUGCUAAGGGUUUGUUCUAACAUUGGUAAGAAAGGGUAAUCAAGCAGAGCACACAAAGGAACACUUGCACUUUAAGAAACAAUGGACUACAAACAAGUUCGGACCAUCUCUAACCACAACAUUAUGCUACAAAGAGGAACAACAAGGUUAAGGAGAAUGCCCUCCCCUAAAGACAUACAACAAAAGGCUUGCUAGCAUCUGGGACUAAAAGAACUCAAGCAACAACUUGUACACAAAGUUAGACCACAAUUGUGGUUUUGAACGAUUCCUGUAUUUACUAGUCGAAGCUCUCCUCGUCCCCAUGCAGGAUCAGAACAUCCUCCAUCGUGGUAGCCAGGUCGCAGUCCUGCCUAAAGAGCGCAUGGAGCGCGCUGACAGUGACCGACGAAAGCUUCCCUUCAAGCAGUUUAUCUAACUUGGAGAUAGAAGCUGAGUAACAUCCUCGCCCUCGACGAUAAUCUCCAUAUGCCAGUACGGGAUCUUCUUGGCAAUCACGCCACUAGGGUGGACCUGAUCUUGGACUGGAGGCAAGCAUUGUUUCAAAUAAGUGACACCACGUCGUGCUGCAAAGUCGAUGCCUCGGCCUAUAGCAAUGAAGAGUGUGAAGUAGCGAGGGUAGUGUCGGAUGACGAACAACGUGGCCGAUGGGGUCUCAACAUUGUGGGGUAUAGGGGCUGGGUUCCCAUGCUCGUGCAUGAGAUCCGACAAUGACUCAACCAUCAGUGGCGAUGCAGAGGCCACUAGUGGCGGCGGUGUUCCCAGGACCGGAUUAGGUGCAGUAGGGUCAUGCAUAUGUGUGAGUGGUAAGCGCAUAAUAGCUUCCCACAUGGUGGCGUACCAUGCGCCACAUAAGAGCUCGUGGCAUCAAAGAAGUAGGCCCACCGUUGGUGAAGCAUUGAGAGUGUCGUGCAGUAGCUGAGUGAAACCAGCCCCCACCAUGGCCUAGGAUGCACCCUUUGACCAUAGGGCGUGGGAGGCAGGGCCAAGACAGUCUUGCCCGCUAAGUUGUGCAGGCACGCGAGGGAGGGUUGUGGACGGUUGUCCUAGAAGCCGACGCAUGGCCAUCACGGGAUGAGUGAUGUGCUAGACAAGCACCGCGCCAUGAUGCUACACUGCAGCUCCCCGCUGCCAGUGAGGUCCGCCAGUCGCAGCACCACAUGGUGCACUGCAGCUCCGCCACACUGCCAAUGAAGACCGUCCCAACACAAUGAACGUUGCACUGGAGCAACCACACCCCCUCGCCUGCGAGGUCCACCGGUCAUAGCACCAUUUGUUGCAUUCCAGCUCCGCCAUGCCACCGAUGAGACGGCUACAACACCUCUCCGCCGGUCGCAGCACCGCGUGUUGCAUUGCAGCUCCGCCGUCCCCGACAAGAUCUGCAAGGGCGCGACACCGUGCGCGCUGCACCCUGCACGGAAGCAUCCCUAUAGGCCNNNNNNNNNNNNNNNNNNNNNNNNNNNNNNNNNNNNNNNNNNNNNNNNNNNNNNNNNNNNNNNNNNNNNNNNNNNNNNNNNNNNNNNNNNNNNNNNNNNNNNNNNNNNNNNNNNNNNNNNNNNNNNNNNNNNNNNNNNNNNNNNNNNNNNNNNNNNNNNNNNNNNNNNNNNNNNNNNNNNNNNNNNNNNNNNNNNNNNNNNNNNNNNNNNNNNNNNNNNNNNNNNNNNNNNNNNNNNNNNNNNNNNNNNNNNNNNNNNNNNNNNNNNNUGCAACAUCGACCACAACAGCGGCCUACAGCGCCAAUGAUUCUCGGCAUCACAGACCACAACGACGGAAGACACAUAUGCUGCAAGACGACGCAGGUGCAGCGGGUCGACGGCUGCUGGGCUGCCGCACCCCGCUUGCGGCUGCUCUGGCGAGAUCCAUGGCGAAAGGUCGGAGAGGGAUGCGGAGAAGAAGUGAAAAAAUGGGGAUCUCGCUCGUGUGUGGAAGAAUGAGUGGAUCUGAACACCAUCCUGACUUUCACUUCUCGGGAGCUGUUUCCAUUGUGGAGGGCGCCCCGCUGGAAGAAACUCGCGGUCUAGCUUUUCUUAACCAGGGGCUCAAGGCACACAUCAAUAUUUGGAAGGAGAGACUGACCAUGGAUGAAAGCAUCGGUGUGGCAUAGUAGAAUGGGCUCCUGUAGUUCUGCAUGGAUGGUGAGUCACAUAGAGUAGAGAUGGAAAAGGUGUCAGGUGGUGAGGACUGAGAAGGAGACUUGUUUUGCCAAGCUUUUACGUAGAGAACCAUGGUGGGACGCGAAAGAGGACACACGACAGAGAGCGGCGGUGGUUGUGGUCACGAUGUGGCUGAGCUUGCGAGACAGAUGCGGUGGACGAGGGUGGUGGCUAAGAGAGAGAGAGAUUUAUCCCGACGUGAGGAGGUGAUGAUUUUCAACCCAGGAAUCUGGAGUGGAUCCGGGACGAGCCCAGCGGGGUGAUGGAUGGAUAAAUUUCUUAAGUUUUCAUUUGUUGCCGGAUAUACUAUACUAUGAUCCUUAAUGUGUUCUGUGGCAUUGGUAUUGCUAGCAUAUUAUGGAAACGAAACAUGUUGUAAAUGGAAAGGUUACAGAAGGCGUACUCUCUCCGUUUUUAUUUAGUCUGCGUAUUAGGUUUAAUCAAAGUCAAAUUUUGUAAACUUUGAUAAAAUUUAUAAACAAAAUUAUUAACAUAUACAAUAACAAAUCAAUAUCAUCAAAUUUAUUAUUGAAUGUAAUUUCACAUCAUAUAGAUUUGUUAUAUAAAUGUUUGUAGUUUUUUUAAUAAAAUUGAUCAAAUUUUACCAAGUUUGACUUCAGUCAAUUCUAAUAUGCAGAGUAAAUAAUAACAGAAAGAGCAUAAAUGAGAAAAUAAAUGCACCACAGUCCCAUAUGGAGCACCAUCGGAAUGAUCCCCUAUGCCGACGGCCUUAGGCCCGAACCUCGAGGGGGCGUGAUAGCCCACAGCACGCCACUAACUAGAUCGGACGAAGCCUGAAUGAACCCAUAAUAACACAAACAAAGGAGACCAGAGCUGCUGCGGAACGGACUCACGGUGGGAGCUGAGCUGCACCGGAGGCAGAUCAAAGGCGGAGUAUUUUGUGCUGCCUGUGGGAGAGAGAGGAAUCUAUUUUUCACCGCUUUUGGGGCAGUCCACACUCGAAACAGUUCUGGAAAGUGCUCCGACAGGAGAAGGCUGCGCCGGUAGCCACACCGCCGGAGUUUAAUGGUUCCCACAGCGCCGUUUCACAGUGGCUGCAGGAGUGGUUCGCCGGUGCUAGUGACGCUGAACGUGAGACAAUGGUGCAGGCUGUGGCUUGCUCGGAAUUAGGCACGCGAUGGGAAGAGAAUUGCGGACGCGAAAGCUGUGGCGGAGCGGGUUCAUGAUCAUAUGAGGGAGUGGACGACUGAGGUUCACCAAAGAACAGCCAGGACCAUGGAGCCAAAACAGGUGGACAGAUGGAAGCCACCCUAAAACUGCAGGUUUACGGCGGAGGACGGAGUGGUCUUGCGAGACCAUGGUGGAUGCUCGUUCCUCCCAAGCACUUCCGACCCGGAGAUGCUUGAGGUUUUGGCAAGCAGGCAAGCAGGCAAACUGGCGAUGCAGCAGAACGUAGAGAGGAUCCAUCUUGAGCUGGACAGCAAGGGAGUGGCGGCGAUGAUCAAUGGUAAGGGCAAGAAACCUGUCGGCUGUAGGUCCGUUGGUGGCGGAGAUCAACCAGCUACUACAGACUCAGCAAGAGUUUAAGGUGAGCUGAGUGCGUAGAUCGGCUAAUGAAGGAGCGCAUAGGUUAGCAAAGGAAGGGGUUAGCAUUCGUAUGAAUAAAAAUGGCUUGAGGUGCUGCAGGCUGUUGCAGAUGAGAUUCCUGACUUUGUUUGAUUUCCUUUGAUUGAAUAAAUUCUUUACCCCUAAAAAAACGAGACCAGAGCGGACCUGAACCCAUAAUAAUAGAAGAAAAAAAAGACCAGGCCGGCCCUAACCGGAUCCCAUGGACCCGUGAAUCAAACCCGACCGAGACGACACAACACAAACAAAUGAAGAAUAGACGCGACGCUGUCGUCGACGACCCAUGGGCGCUGCCUGCGUAUAUAGAGAAUGUCGAGUACAGUAUGCUUAGUGGGCGGGGAGGAGUGCGUACCUGUGGUGCGAGAGGGUGGCAGCAUGAGGAGAGACGGUCGAGAAGAUGGGACCAAGGGCGCUCGGCGGCGGCAUCACCUUCUCCUCCUUCAACGUUGGCUGUUGCUCGCCAACGGUGUUGUGAAGCUCCGCCGCAGAGCUGCUCAUCAUUGUCAUCAUCUUAGCAACAAAUAGUAUGACGCAACAAGUAAGACACGACCAACUAGAAAAAGGUUUGUCUUUGGUCAAUCGAACGAUUACAGCACACUGGUUGGGUUGAAAGGACUAUCAACUGAACAUAGUCUAUGUAUGUAUGUAGACGCCCAGCCAGUACAUAAAUAAGAUGGUUACGAGGAUCAUAUUUGUGUGUAUGUAUCUAUCUCUCUUGAGUAGAGUAUAUAUAGUAAUUAAGCAGUGGUGUCACCGGUUCAUCCGUCCAGCACCGCGUACACACAAACAAUGGUAACUAUUAAUGGCAUUGGUGUGAAUGGGUCACUAAUGCUUUUUUUCGUUGCGAGAUACCCCUAUGAUGGGUUGAUGAUUUAAUGUGAUGGAUUCAGUGCUACUAGCAUGAAAACUAAACAUGCUCAAUGUGCUGGAUGAGUCCAAAAAAUGUAAUUGAGUGACACACACACACACACUCUCUCCACCUCUUACAUGCGGGCCCCAUUUAAUGUGCUCGAUGAGUCAAAAAAAAUUAUCUGAGUGAAGUUGUAAAGGAAGAUACAACUGCAUGCGACACAAACCAGUAGGGAACUGCGACAAACAUGCCAGUAAUGAUGAUGAGUAUGGACAAUAUAGCGAGGCGGAGGGAUUUGUGUACCUGCGGAGAGAGAGGGUGAGAGCGGGAGGAGGGAGUGACAGGUAGGUGAUGAGGUUGGGCUCGCAGGCGCCCGAUGACACCAUCGGCUUCACAUGCGCCUUGGCGGGCGUCAACUCCGGUUUAGGCGCGGGAGUGCGUGCAGGCGCCUCCCGGCGGCUACGCGGGCGCUUCCUUUGGCCCCACUGAAGCGGCACAUGGGCAUUCGGUGAGGCGAUGGUGUUGCCGCCACCGCCAGUGACGUUGGAUCCCUGGGAGGUGUGCAUGGCGUUGUUCAAGAGAUGGUGGCUCACAGGGGCAAUUGGUGAGUACGCCGGUUGGGGCGGGUACGGAGCGUGACCCCACAAUUUGUGUUGCUCAAGUGAGGUGCGGACGAUGUCGCUGCUAAGGCCGCCACCGACGUUGGGUCCUUGGUAUGUGUGCAUGCCGAUGUUGUAGAUAUGGUGGCUUACGAGGGCAGCGGAUGAGGAUGCCGGGCGCCCUCGUGUCAUGUGGUUCUCCAGCGUGGUGCGGCCGAAGUACGGCGUGAGGCAUGAGGUGUCAGCGACGACGAGUGGGGUGCGCUCGAGCUUGCUCUGUGUGGGGUCCGGCGUUGGUGACACUGGCCUAAGGAUCAUGCUGCCACCACCGCCAUCAGCGAGAGGGAGGGAAUCCGAGUUGAUUCCCGGGUACCUGCACAGAAAACAAAAUCAAACAAACGUUCGAGAGACGAUGUUAGCGAGCUAUAUUUGGAUUGCAACAAAACCAAGUCGAACUUUUGGAUAUAACAUGAAAUGAACAUAAAAAAACUACUUUCCCUCUUUGUGGGUUACUAGCAACCGAACAAUAUAUUUGUAAGUGUCUAGAGCCUGCAUGCCCAGUAGGAGUAGAUGGCUGUGAACAUCAUAUAUGUAUGUGUACAUGGAUCUAUCUAUCCUGAGUAGGCACCAACAAGGACAACGAAAACUAUUAAUGUCACUGUUUAAUGUGAUGCAUUGAUGAUUAAUGUGAUGGAUGCCAGUGCUUAGCAUGGAAACAAAACAUGGUGCUGGAUGAGUCCAAAAAAGUGCAAUAGAGUGAUGCUGUAAAGAAAGAUAGAACUGCAUGCAACACGAGCCAGAUAGAACUGCGACAAAACAGAUAGUAUAGCCCAAGGGGAGGGGCGUGCGUCGUACCCGUGGAGCCAGAGGGUGCCGGCGCGAGGAGGAGGCGAUGGGGAUGCGCUGAGGUUGGGACCGCGGGCGCCCGGCGGCGCCAUAGCCGCUCGCGCCUUCGCCUUCGCCGCCCUGCGGCUCCUGUAGUUGAGGGAUUUCUGACGGCGCACCUCGGCGCGCGUCAGCUCGGGUUCGGGCACCGGCGUCUCGCGACGGCUGCGCGACCGCUUCCCGUGGCCCCACCACUGGAGCGGCAAGGGACAGUCCGACAAGGCGAUGCCGCCGCCACCGCCGCCGCCGAGGUCGGGUCCCUGGGAGUGGGACGUGUCCAUGGCGACGUUGUAGCGAUAGUGGCUCAGGAGGGCAGCGGAUGAGGACGCCGGACGAUUCUCGAGCGAGGUGCGGGGGAAGUAAGGCGCGAGGCGUGAGGUGUCGACGACGACGUCCGGAGCGCGCUCGUCCUUGCUCGGUUUGGGGGCCGGCGCCGGCGCCGCUGGGUUCCUGCUCGCGCCGCUGACUCCGCCAUCAGCGAGGGAAUCCGGGUUGAUUCUCUGGGACCUGCACACGAAACAACACCAAAUGAACCAUUGAACAUUUGGAUGCAGCAGGAAACGAAGAGCAAACAAAACUUGUUCCCCGAGCAAGGAAACGCGAGGCCAGGAUUUGUAAACCAAAAUCAGUACAAGAAAAAAUAAAACGUGUUUACAAACUGCAAAACUGAAGUGCGGACCCCGAGCAUUCGAAGAUCUGGAAAUCCGCACAAAAGAGCACAAACAGAAACAGUCGGGCGAAAGAAAGAAUCCGGACUCGAUCAGAAGAAAGAAAACAUAAACCCGGACCCGAUCUCUCCGCAGGAAGGAACGAACAACCCAGAACACGGCACCGGAAGGAAGAACCCCAAGAGCUAGCAAAAUCGCGGCGGCAAGAGGGCUACCUCAUCAUGUGAUUGACGUCCAUUUCGGCGGGGCUGGGUUUGGAGGGGCGUCGGGAGCAGCGUCUCAGCCCCCUCCUUGUCUCCUUGGCUGCCGUUUCACUCUCCCCUCCCACUCUCUGCCUUGUCCUCGUGCUCUCUAGCCUCCACAGGUAUGUGAUUAACGGAAUGCUGCUAGCUAGGGCCUCGGCUAAUGCACACCCACAAUUGUCCCCGUGCGCGAAGCUUCCCCUGAGGCGUGAGCGUGACGAUCCCCGCGCUCACGUGACCCAUCAACACCUGACGUCGCACUGGGUGGAUAAGCGCCGUUGGUUUUAGACUAAUUAAUGCAUGCUUAUCUAUCUAUAUACCAGCAAAAAACAAAUGCUUACCUAUCUAUACAUGUGCUUCCAACCAAAGUGGCAACCAUGCAUGUAAUAGCAUCUCUAAUAUUGGUAGCCAUUAAGAUUGAUUUUUAUGCUAAAAGUACCAUCGUUCUUACUACAUCCAAAAUGGAUAUAUAUGCCUUUCACUUCUGUAUAGGUUCGAAUAUAGAUACGCGGUAUCAUGCCUAUAAAUUAGAAAAUUGAUUUUCAUUUUGUAACAUGAAAUGGCAGGUGUUAUGAUCUAAUAUACUAUUGUCACUCUUUUCAUAUAAAAGUAAAAAAUGCCUUCCACUUCACUAAAUGAUACAAGCAUAUAUUUGGGGCAUUUCGUGUGCUCCGAUAAAAAGUUUCUUUUUUUUUUGUACUGAAGUGCAUGAAAGCUUCGCUUUAUAAGCUACCAAAUGAUCACCCUUUCUGUUAUGAAUAUGUCAAACAAUUAUUGUAUGAUACUACAAGUAAGGAUUAAUUUCAGGACGUGGCUAGCAGGCGCGCGAGCGCUCGUUGGUGGGAUCGAGCGCUCUUUCAAAUAUGGAAAGACCUGCUGGUGCGCCCGACGUAGCCCAUAAAAAAGGAAUCUUGUCUCACGUGCAUUUAUUUGGAGGUCCAAAAAGUUUAAAAAGCUAUAACUUUUGAUUUAAGCAUCGAAAUCUAAUUUCGUUUUCACAGCUGGAUUUCUCGCGACGAGUUCUUCAAAACUAGAUCUCAUAUAGAUAGGUUUCGUCGAACUUUUUUUUGAGGCAACUUUGGGUACGAUAGAGGCAACUUUAGUGCUACAGGAAAGCAACUUCAUUUUUUGCCUAGAGGACUGUCUAUUAGGUUGGUUUGUGUAAAAAUGCUAAAAUAAUCACAACUGACCUACCAUGGUUGCUCAGUUGCCUACCAUGGAUAUUCAGUUGCCUAUCAGUGAUGCCCACUUGCCUACAAUACUAUGAAAUUGACCUACCAUUGAUGUCCAGUUACCUGCUAUUGAUAAUUAGUUACCUAUCAUUACUGCUUAGUUGUCUAACUUGGCAAAUUAGUUGCCUACAAUUAUCUGCUUAUCAUUGUGUUUUUCCUAAGUUGCCUAAAACACUAUGAAGUUACCUAUCGGUGAUGCUCAGAUGACUGGCAUUUUUAGAUCGUUAUGAAACCUGAGUAUCACACAAAAAAGUUAGCUACUUUUGGGGUGUUUUUGUGCAACUCCAGUGCAUUCAACAAGCAACUCAUGUGUGUUUUCCAUCAUUAUAUCUGGAGAUUUCAAUAAUUUUCACGGGCAACUCAUGCAAAAAUUAUGAACAACUUGUGUAGGCUUGUGGGCAACUGUCUGAUCCGCCCCCUAUGAAACUUCUCAUCACCCCCUAUGCAAAUUAUCAUCUGUCCCUACUUAUGCAACCAGUCAACACCCAUGACAUUGCUAGCUAACACCCACGUGCUCGGUAGCGUUGGCCGAUAGACUCCCCCAAAAAAGGAAAGAAUAAUGCUAUCACACCAUCCAUCUCCACAUAGUUUCGAAAUUUGAAAUCAUGAUAGACAACUUAUAUCCCACAAAAACUUUUCAACAUUGUAGGCAAGUUAGGUCCCUUGAUGGACAACUUUCAUACUAUUUUAGGCAAUUGGGGUGUGUAGGCAACUUCGUAGCAAUAUAGGCAACCUGGUUUCUGAGGCAGGCAACUUAGAAGCCGUGUUAGACAACUUUCCACUCUGCGGUAAGCAACUUUCGCAGUAUCAUAGGCAACUAAACUAUCGACAACUUAGUUUUUGAUGUAUGCAACUCAACAACCAUGAUAACCAUCCAUUAGACUAUUGCACACAACUAUUAGUAGGCUAGUAGGUGAAUCACUAACACACACAAUGCACUUCAUCUAGCAUUAAAGUUGCUCCAGUUUAGCACUAGAGUUGCCUCAUCUAGCAUCAAAGUUGCUUUAAAAAAGCAUCAAAACAUAUUCAUAUGGGAUCUAGUUUUGAAGAGUUCAUCACGAGGAACCCAAUGAUGAAAACGGGUCAUAAUUCCAACAUGCAGUUUGAAAGUUAUAUUUUGGAAUUUUCUUGUACUGAAAUUAAUGCAUGUUAUGUCAUCGUUGGGUUCAUAUGGUUGGUCAGACGAGUUUAUGAAAGAUCAACAUACUAUAGUAGAUGAAUCUUUCCAUAUAUGGGCAACUUAGGAUGAUGUCAAGCUACUCGUUAGUCACGGCACGUAAAUAUUGUGCCCUUGCUUAUUAUUGUUUUCCUAAGUUGCCUACAAACACUCUGAAGUUGCCUAACAGUGAUGCUUAGUUGCCUGACAUUACUUUUUCAGUUGCCUACAAUACAUUGAAAAGUUGUCUAUAAGUGUUACUAAGUUGCAUAUCUAUGAAACUAAGUUGCUUACCAUACCAAAAAGUAUUUUAUGCAACUAAGGAUAAUGUUAAACUAUUCGCUAGUCAUGGCAGGCAGCUUAGGAUAAAUAUUAGCCUAGCUCGAAAACUAAAUUGCCUACAAUACUAUCAACUUAGAGGCAAAACUAAACUAGUUAUGGUAGGAAACUUAGAGGUGAAGCUAGCUAACUUCAAAGGGAUUUUCGAUGAUACACAGUCAUCCUACGCAGACUGGCAGUAAGUUGCUUUCCUAUAGCACUGAAGUUGCUUCCGUUUCACCCAAAGUUGCUCAUAAAAAAAGUUAGUCAAAACAUACUCAUAUGGGAUCUAGUUUUGAAGAGCUCGUCGCGUGGAACCCAGCCGUGAAAACAAAUUUGAGUUUCGAUGAUCGGUUCAAAAAUUAUAGCUUUUUGAAAUUUUGAAAACGCAAAUUAAAUGCAUGCAACGUGAGAUCUUGUUGGGAAAUCACGACAUGGAUGGGCGCACUGAGACACGGUGGACCAACUCCUUUUUCUGUGCGUUAAUUCCUUUCUGUGGGCUGGUAUUGGAACCACGUGCGAGAAAGAGGCGGGAGACAGGAGCAUAGAAUUUCUUGUCGUGUAGCGCGUGCGCCCGCCAUGACGAACGAGCGCAGCUGCGCGUUUAAGAUUUCAGGAAGAAAUAUGGGCUGAACCACGUUAGCGGAAAAGUAAAUGGGCACUGCAUACGAAUUGCGCUGUACUUGACGGGUUAAGCACCAAAUAGCACUAGCUGCUAGACUUACCAGUUCGAUUGGUUCGUUCUUUUUAUUCUUUCACUCACUUUAGUGAAAAACAUGCAUCUAGCUUGUGGAAAAACCGAUUAUAGUUUUUCUAAAAACAAAACCGUACAUUCAAAAUAUAUUCGUGGAUAUUUAAAAUGUUCAAUUGUUUUAAAAAAUUCUCACAAAUUUAAUAUAUGUCCAAAAAAAUGUCAGUGAAUUUGCUAAAUGAUCAUGAACUAAAAAAAUCUUCACGAAUCUAAAAAGUUAUUUGCGAAUCAAACAAUAGUAAUGAAUUUUAAACAUGGUCACGGAUUUAAAAACGUAUUCAUAGUUAGUAAAAAACAAAUGAAGAAAAAAUAAAAAAUUCUAGAUAAAACUCGAGUAAGAAAAUACAUAAUAGAAAAAGAAAAAAAUCAUAUCAAAAAGCUUCUAGAAGCUUUGCAAAAUAGAUUAAAAAUGCCUACUUGGGCCCGCCCACUAAAGAAACUGAACGGGCAGAGGGGUGUGUGUUUUUUUUCCAAUAUCGGAGUAUAUAUCACUACUAGUAUGUAUGCACGUGCAAUGCGUGUCUUAAUAUAACGGAAGGAUUUUGGAAUGUGACUCAAAAAAAGUAUAAUGGCGUGAUUUUGAUAAAUGGAAUAAAAAAGGUCAAAGAUUUGCAAAUAGAUCGAGCAAAAAGAAAUAUAGUAAUAUACUAAUCCAGAUAUUAAUUAGUAGGAAUUACUAUUCAUUCCUCCUGCAAUUGUUUUUAAUAUUCAUAUGAAUAAAAUAUACAUUCACAUCUAAAAAACUGUAGGUUCAUUUAAAAAACUUUAUGUUAUUCUAUUUUCUCUUUCCCCACUUUCUCUUCCCAAACCAUCUUUUCUGGGCUCAAGUUGUCAUUCGCUCAAGUGGUAAUAUAGCCCAUGAGGCACCACAUAUGGGACUUUUUUCUAGAAGGGCCACAUGUCUGUUAUAGAAUACAACAAAGGUAACAUCACUCUACUGUUCAUGGAGAAUCCUGCUGAUCUUGGCCCUUGGAUUUUGGAGGCCAACGGUUAUGAUUGAUGCUCUAGAUCCAUUUUGAAAACUGGUACACUAUAUAGUAGUAUAGAUAAGGCCUUAUUAAGUUUUAUAGGAUGUAACAAGAUGUUUCCCUUUCGCACAGAGGCCACAACUGGCCGGCCAAUUUAGGGUUGUGCAUGGUAGCAAAGCAUGGUUGGUUUCUCUAGUGCGUUUUUUGGCUUCCUUUGGUUCAUUUAUUUUUGACUGGGUUUUUCAUUUGAUUUUGAAAAAACAAGAAUAUUUAUAUAUUUAUUUGAAAAUAUAAUCAUUUUUUGAACUUUUAGAACAUCUGUAAAAAUGAAGGAGAACUUUUGAUUUUUUAAACAUCUUUAAAAACGAAACAAUUUUAAUAUACUAAACACUUUUUGAAAGUUGGAUCUAAUCAUCAACUUGGCCAAAGAAAACUCAUAGAUUGGAAAACAUUACGUAGCUAUAACAAUCACACAUAAUAAAGUUCAAAAAAGCAUCAAUUACUUUCAGUGAAUAAUCUGAUCAUAAACCCACAAUUCAUCGGAUCCCAACAAACACCGCAAAAGAAGAUUACAUCAAGUAGAACUCCGAGGAGAACAUUGUAUUGAAGAUGUGAGAGAGAGAGAGAGAGAGAUCUACUAAUCAUUAUGGACCCGUAGGUCUGUGGUAACUAUUCACACAUCAUGUGAGGUGCAUCAAGGUUGAUGUAGAAGCCCUCCGUGGUCGAUUCCCCCUCUGGCAGAGUACGGGUGAAGGCCUCCAGAUGGGAUCGCGGAAGAACAGAAGCUUGUUAUAGCGGAAUAGUUGCGGGUCUCGCUCUGGUGGUUUUGGGGAUUUAUGGAAGUGGAAUUAGGUCAAAUAGAGCCACGAGGGCCGACAAGCUAAGGUGGCGCCCCCCUGGGGCACGCCGUGUGAGCUUGCGGCCCACUCAUAUAUCUUCUGGCCUCCUCCCGAAGCUUCAAGGGUCCCUUCUGGUUCACAAAAAAUCUUCGUAAAGUUUCAUCACGUUUGGACAUCGUUUGGUACUAAUUUUCUACGAAACAAUAAAAUAGGCAAAAAAACAGGAACUAGUACCGGGCACUAGGUUAAUAGGCUAGUUCCAAAAAUGAUAUAAAAUUGCAUACAAAACAUACAAGAUUGAUAAUAUAAUAGCAUAAAACAAUUAAAAAUUAUAGAUACGUUGAAGACGUAUCACAUGCAUCUCAAAGUAUUAAGUUCAUAACAAACAGAGUAAUGCAUUAAGCAAGAUGACAUAAUGUACACAAAAUAAGAUCAACUAAUAUGACCAAACCCCAUCGUUUUAUUCUAAGUAGCAACAAUACAAUACGUGCCUUGUCACCCCUCCUGUCAGAGAGCAAGGUCACCGCCAAAUUAAACCUACUAAGAAGCACCUCUCCCGCUGAAAAUAAAUCAAUCUACUUGGCCAAAGAAGACAAAUAGACCGGAGAGAAAAACAAGACUAUAAAGUUACACAAUCAAAGAGAUCUCAAAUGACUCAAAUAAUAUCAAUGAAUAAUCUGAUCAUAAACCCACAAUUCACUGAAUUUCAACAAACACGCCGCAAAAAUUACAUCGGAUUGAUCUCAGAGGAGAUCAUUGUAUUGAAGGUCAAAAGAGAGAGAAGAAAUCAUCUAGCUACUACUAUGGACCCGUAGGUCCCGAAGGAACUACUCACACAUCAUCAUGGAGGCAGCAAGGUUGAUGAAGGUUUCCUUCCCAAUGGUUUUCCCCUCCGCAGAAUACCGGAACAGGGCUCCAGAUGGGAUCACGGAAGAACAGAGGCUUGCGGUGGCGGAACAAUUGUUUCGGGUCUUGCUUCGGGGGUUUCUGAAUAUAUGAGAAUUUAUAGGCCAAGAAUUAGGACAAAUGGAGUCACGAGGGGCCCACAAGCCAGGGUGGCACGCCCUACCCCCGGGCGCGCCCCCUGCCUUUGGCCACCUCAUGGUCUUCUUCUUCUUCUUCUUCUUCAUCUUCUUCUUCUUGGGCUCACUCAUGAACCUAUCCUCAGAGGCAUUGUCGGUGUUUGGCUUCGGCCUUGUCAGCCCCUGAAGUACGUCCAGUAGAGGCCUACCGAAUGGCGGCAUGGCGACGGCGCGACUGGACGAGGACGCAACUGGACGGCGUGACUGGACGAGGACGCAAUGACGAGGAGGCUACCGGAUGCGUCGUCGUAGAUAACAUGAAUUUAGAUGAAACCAAUAAUCUUGCUGGCCAACUGCGAGUAGUCUUAUAAGUUCACUUUCCAUUUUAUGCACAUGGGCAAGUUGUUGUUACUAAAAAAAAGUUGUUAUUACUCAAUAUAUUUGUGUUAACAUAAAAGACAUAUGAAAGCAAAAGUUGACAGUGAGCCAUAACGAGAUAGCUCGUUGCGCAAAAAAUAAAAUAAACUAACGAGAUAGCUCUUGCAAACGACCGUUCUGCGCAACGUAAUAAUUAAUGCAAAAGAAACCAAAAAAGGAUAUAUGUCUAAGCCCAGGUUCGAACUGGGGACCUUUAGUGUGUGAGACUAACGUGAUAACCAACUACACCACCCAGACAUGUUGAUUUAAUCCGUGGAACAAAGUUAUUUAUCCAAGACAGAAGCAGUCCCCAUUAUCUGUUUCUUCGUCGAAGCGCCACCACCAGCCUACCAAGGUACUAUUUCAUCUGAUUAUAGUUUAUUUAUCAGUCGCGUAUUUCCUUCAGUGGAAACGACGAAAAGAUGUGCUUAUAAACUCAACACAGUGUAGUUUCCUCCAAAGAACACAAAUUUUGGCAUGACGCGUCUGUCCAAAAAGACACAUCUAUAACAACGCACGUUGCAUUAAGUUAGGAUCCCAAUGUUCUUGUGCCGUGCGUCCACAUCUACAUGCAUGGCUCUUCACGCCGACGCUGCACAUAUAUCAUCGCCUCACUCACUCAUUUGGCACCAGCUCACAAUAAGAUCGAUCUUCGCUUGCCCGCCAGCAUCUGAAGCACACAAGAAGCGGAUGUCGGCAUCUGAAGAAACUCGGGGCAGCAUGAAGAAGAAGGAGAAGAAGAAGACGACGGGCUGCCUCGCGCCAAUCUUCGCCGCCUGCGUCCCCUCCGCCAGGCAGCAGCCCGGCGGCGACGACGAUGCCGCCAGGAGCCGCCUCAGCUUCUCGUUCGCGGAGCAGAGCCAGCCCGAGAGCAUCAUCGACCCGGCCGCCUCGGUCGUGGCCAGGAAGGACGGCCGGCACCAGCAGCAGCCGCAGCACUGCGCCGUCAUCGUCGGCACCAUCUUCGGGAGCCGCAGCGGCCGCGUGACCUUCUGCGUGCAGCGCGACCCGGCCGUGCCGCCCCCGUUCCUCUUCGAGCUCUCCGUGCCCAUGCAGUCCCUCGCCGCCGAGAUGGCGUCCGGCCUUCUCCGCAUCGCGCUCGAGUGCCACCGCUCCAGCGGCAGGUCGUCCGCGCCCGGUGCGGCCGGCGAAAAUGCUGCUGCUGCCGGCGGCAGCUCCCGCCCGAGAAACGUCUGGACGGCGUCCUGCAACGGCCGGGACGCCGGACAUGCCGUGCGGCGGCCGCCGACGGAGUGGGAGCGGGGCGUGCUGGAGAGCAUGCGGACGAUGACGGCCGGCGUCGGGGCGCUGCCGGCAGCCGAGCCGCAAGAAGGGAUCAGCGAGGAGGUGAUGUAUAUGAGGGCGACCUACGAGAGGGUGGUGGGCUCCAAGGACGCGGUGUCGUACCAUCUCAUCAGCCCACGCACCGCCGGCGAUAGCCCGCCGCAGGAGCUCAGCCUCUUCCUGCUGAGAACCAGAGGGGAUUGAGAUUCACUGUCUGUGUGUACGCAGUGACAUUCACUGACAUGCGUGUAACGUGCAUGUGCUACUCCCUCCGUGUUAACAUGUAAAUAUUUCUGUUGUAAUAGUCUGGCACGUCCAGCCCUAGAAUUUAGGAUCUCAACUAAUGCCCUGGCCUGCGUGCCUACUUCCUUGGGCUUUCUAUAUGUAAUGACUGUUGUACUGUAACCAGAAAUCAAGGGCAAUCAUUCUAUUGUCUAAUUUGGUAUCAGUGUCUCCAGGUCUCUCCAUGGCCGAACACUCCUCUUCCUCCUCCGCGGCCACCAUGCCCGCCUCCUCGCCGGCCUCCCUCUCCUCGACGGCCUCCUCCGGCUCGUCCUCGGCCACCGCCGCCGGCACAUCCACGCCGCCGUUCGUCUUCGGCACUGCCUCUGCCCACCUCAUCGGCACCUCUCCCAACCCUAAUUCCCAGUUUGCUCCUCUCUUUUCCUCCACCAACCCACAGCCGCCGCCGCCGGCACCACCCGCUCGCCACCCCAUCCUCAACGUGGAUCUCACUAGCCACAUCAAGUUCCUCCUGAACCCUGCUGAAAACAAUUACCACAAGUGGAAAUCUUUCUUCCUGAUGGUCCUUCUUCGUUACGGCGUCACCUACCUCAUCCAGCAUCCACCACCUCCCAACGCCGACAGCCACUACCUCGAGCUUGACACCCAUGUCGUCCUCGCCAUGUACGCCACCCUUACAGAUCAGAUCAUCGAUCAUGUGAUCGGCGCCACCACCACCUAUGCUCUCUGGACUCGGAUCCAAGACUACUUCCUUGCCAAUCGUGCGGCCCGCUACAUGAUUCUGAACCGGCAGUACCGCAAUCUCAAGCAGGGUGACCUUUCCGUCGACGAGUACGCGCGCCGCAUGAAGCUUCUCACCGCCGGUCUCGCGGACAUUGAUCAUGCCGUCACCGAGGUCGACCUCACCACGCAGUUUCUACACGGCCUCGACGGGCGCUUCGACACCAUCCGUGUGGUUCUGGGGGACACCGUCCCUUGCCACCCUUCGAGACCGUCUUCUCGCGCGUCAAACUCGCCGAGGAGAACCAGGCUCAGCGCGCCUCCGACACCAGCGCCACUGUGCUCGCUGUCCACGGGAGCGGCGGCACCCCCGAAACUGGCGGCUCCUCCGGGCCUUCCUGCUUCCCCAACAACGGCGGAUCCGGCCCCCGCUCCGGUGAGCGCGCGGAUCGGUCUUCGGAUCGGGGCUCCAACCUGCAGCACGGUCGUGGCAAUGGCCCUUCUCGUCAAGGCGAUGGUGGCGAGCGUGGCCGCGGGCGCGGCCAUGGGCGCGGCGACUCGGGCGGUCGUGGCCACGCCCUGCCGGCCUACAACCCCUACAUGGGCUUCUUCGCCCCCUAUGGGAUGGCGAUCCCUCCUCCACGCCCCGUCUGGGUUCCUUCCAAUUCUGCUGGCGUGCUUGGGCCACGUCCGGGAUCCCACGCCCACGCCUAUCCGGUGCAGUAUUCGCCGUACCACGCGCCCUCGCCACACCAGCCGCCGUCUUGGGAUCACCUCGCCAUGCUUCACGCCGCCUACAGCUCCCACGGCUUCUCCAACCCCGGGCCCUCCUCCAACGAAUGGUACCUCGACAGCGGCGCCUCCAACCACGUGACCGGCAACUCUGGUAACCUCACCUUCUCGAAUUCUCCUUCUAAGCAUAAUUUAUCAAGCAUUAUUGUAGGCAAUGGAUCUCAUCUCCCCAUACAUGCCACUGGCUCCACACGCCUUUCCCCUCAUAACUUUCAUUUACGUGAUGUUCUUUUCUCACCUCAUGUCACUACCAGCCUUAUUUCCGUUCGUUAAUUUACCAAGGAUAAUUCUUGCUCUAUAGAGUUUUACCCGUUUGGUUUUCUUGUGAAGGACCUUUGCACACGGAAAGUCAUCCUGAUCUACGCUAGCUUCGGCGACCUCUACCCCUUUCACGGCAGCAACAAGGCUUGGCGCACUGCCUUUUCCACUACUGUCUCCGAUGGUGAUGUGUGGCACCGUCGGCUCGGCCAUCCUAGUCCUCAUACCCUUCGCUCUUUAGACAAUGCUUUUCUUACCUCAUGUAAUAAAUCUCCUCAUGUUCCUUGUAGUGCAUGCCAACUUGGGCGCCAACCACGUUUACCUUUUCCCUCUUCCACUAGUCGCACGUUUGCUCCUUUUGAUUUAAUCCAUUGUGAUUUAUGAACCUCUCCGGUUGUGAGUUUUUCUGGUUACCAAUAUUAUCUCGUUGUGCUUGAUGAUUACUCUCAUUUUUCAUGGACGUUUCCUCUACGCCACAAAUCCGACACAUCCACUACCCUACAACGUUUCUUUGCUUAUGUCAAAACGCAAUACAAUGUGAUCAUCAAAGCGUUACAAUGCGACAACGGUGGCGAGUUCAUUAACUCCGAUUUACGCUCUUUCUUCUCUACCAACGGCAUAGUCUACCGUUUCUCAUGCCCUCACACGUCUCCCCAAAAUGGCAAGGCCGAGCGUUUACUUCGCACCACCAAUGAUAUAGUUCGCACACUCCUAAUCCAAGCCAAACUCACCCCUCCCUUUUGGGUCGAAGCCCUCCACACCGCCACCUACCUUCUCAAUCGACGUCCCUCGCGUGCCAUUAACAACCAAACACCAUAUUACCGCCUUCAUGGUCUUCACCCCACAUAUGAUCACCUUCGCGUUUUCGGCUGCCUUUGUUUCCCCAACCUCUCCGCUACCACGCCACACAAGCUUGCUCCACGGUCCACACGCUGCAUUUUCCUCGGCUAUCCUCUCGAACAUAUGGGUUACAGGUGCUACGACCCCCUUUCCCGGCGCGUUAUCGUGUCUCGCCACAUUGUUUUUGACGAGCACACGUUUCCAUAUGAGCCUCCCACACCCUCGCCCUCCGCUAACCCUUCCGCAGAAGAUCCGGUCCCCGCGAUCCAGCUGCAGCGCUCCGUCCCGGAUCCCACCGACCCAACAACCUCGGACGGGCCCCACCAAAUCCCCCCCGCCGCGCGGCCCCGCCAACCAACCAAUGCAACCAAUCCCCGCGCCGGCCCCUCCACCCCCACCGCGCCACAGUCCACGAGUGGCCCCACCUCCCACGCACCCACCAGCUCGCCCUCGUCGCACGCGCCAACCAGUCAGCCGCGAUCUUCUCGGGAUCCCGCCUCUGACGCACCUGCCUCCCCACCCAGCGGCAGCCCAGCCUUGGAUCCCACGCCCGUGCACACUCCCACCGAAUCCUCCUCGGAUCAUGCGCCUGUCUCCCACCUACCGCCCGAUAGCCCCACCAAAUUUGCCUCUGAUUCUGAUCCAGCCUAUACCACGCCACCACGUCACCCCAAGCAUGCAAUACCAAUUGCACCACCGCAAAACUCACACAAAAUGCGCACUAGAGCCAAAUCUGGGUUUUGUUUGCCCAAGCGACUUUUUUUAGCCACCACCUCUUCUUCCGCCAUAUCUCCCAUACCACCUACCUAUCGUUCUGCCCUAAAAGAUCCAAAUUGGUUGCAAGCAAUGCGUGAUGAAUUUAAUGCUUUGAUUAUGAAUUCGACUUGGUCUUUGGUUCCAAAGCCUGCAGGUGUCAACGUGGUGACUGGCAAAUGGAUCUUUCGUCACAAGUUCAAUCCCGACGGAUCCUUGGCACGCUACAAAGCGAGGUGGGUUGUCCGGGGGUUCACACAACAGGAAGGUGUGGAUUAUGGUGAAACUUUCAGCCCUGUGGUCAAGCCUGCAACCAUCCGUAUUGUGUUGAGCAUUGCCAAGUCAAGUGCAUGGCCCAUUCAUCAACUUGACAUCAAAAAUGCCUUCCUUCAUGGCGAUCUCAAGGAAACGGUCUAUUGUGCUCAACCAUCCGGCUUCCUCGACUCGUCGCGACUGGAUCAUGUGUGCCUCCUCCGCAAGUCUCUCUAUGGCUUAAAGCAGGCUCCCCGCACGUGGUUUCAUCGUUUCCAAGCUUUUCUCUUGACACUGGGUUUCCGUGCUUCCAAGAGCGACUCCUCUCUUUUCAUCCUCACCCACGGCUCGUCUCUUGCAUAUCUCUUGGUCUAUGUGGACGAUAUCAUUCUCACCGCCAGUACGCCACAUACUCUCCGCUACAUCAUUAACUCUCUCAAACGGGAGUUUUCCAUGACUGACAUGGGUGAGCUUCACCACUUUCUCGGCAUUAACGUCACCCCAAAUGCAUCCGGUCUCUUCCUCAGCCAACAACAAUACACACUAGAGAUACUUGACCGCGCCAACAUGCUCCAUUGCAAGCCUGUUUCCACCCCCGUCGACACCACCGCCAAGCUAUCCUCUAGCUCCGGUGAUCCACUUCCCAACCCCACCACUUACCGCAGCAUCGCCGGCGCUUUACAGUAUCUCACCCUUACUCGACCGGAUAUUUCCUAUGCCGUGCAACAGAUCUGUCUCUUCAUGCAUGAGCCUCGAGCGUCUCACAUGCAACUCGUCAAGCGAGUCCUUCGCUACUUGCGUGGUACAUCCCACUUCGGUCUUCAGUUAUACAAAGCCUCCUCGCUCGAUCUUGUUGCCUACACGGAUGCUGAUUGGGCCGGCUGUCCCGACACACGGCGAUCCACUUCGGGUUUUUGUGUUUACCUUGGGCAGAACAUGAUCUCCUGGUCUUCCAAACGUCAGCCCACAGUGUCUCGUUCUAGCGCUGAAGCUGAAUAUCGCGGGGUCGCUAACUGCGUUGCUGAAUCCUGUUGGAUCCGCCAACUCCUCUAUGAACUUUGGCGUCCGCCCUCUCGUGCCACCAUUGUCUACUGCGACAAUGUCAGUGCCUCAUAUCUCUCAACCAAUCCAGUACAACAUCAGCACACCAAACAUGUUGAGAUCGACCUUCACUUUGUUCGCGAUCGAGUUGCUCUUGGUGAAGCCUGGGUUCUUCACGUCCCAUCGAGCUCGCAGUUUGCGGAUAUCUUCACCAAGGGUCUGCCCUCGCCGAUCUACACGGAGUUUAGGUCCAGCUUGAACGUCCUACCCAACGGCGUACCAGCUGAGGGGGGGUGUUAACAUGUAAAUAUUUCUGUUGUAAUAGUCUGGCACGUCCAGCCCUAGAAUUUAGGAUCUCAACUAAUGCCCUGGCCUGCGUGCCUACUUCCUUGGGCUUUCUAUAUGUAAUGACUGUUGUACUGUAACCAGAGAUCAAGGGCAAUCAUUCUAUUGUCUAACUCUCCGUUCCAUAUUACUUUCGGGUGCCACACAUGUUGUACUAAAUCAGCGACAAGUGAUAUGGAACGGAGGGAGUACAAGGGAGUAGUAUAUAUACUGAUAAAGGAUUGUUCGACCUUCGUGAAGAUUCAUGUAAAAAUUUCUUUUAAUUUUUUUCUUCAUUUUUAUAUAUUCUAUCACUUGAGUGAGAUCUAGCCACACUCAUAUUGAACCGUGCUUGCAGUUGGAGCCUUGGGAGAGUUGAGACUUGAGAGUAAACUGUGUUGUGGCAAUGUACUCAUGUGUAUAGUUCUAGCAUAGUUUCAAUAAAAUAUUUGUAAGAAAGGGGAAUAUAUGCGCCUUGCUGGAUGGUUAUCUGGUAUGUUAUGCAUGUAGUGUCUUUUUCUAAGAAUAAAAAACAAAUAGUUUCAGUAAAAUAUUUGUAAGAAAGGGGAAUAUAUGCGCCUUUCUAUAUGGUUGUCUGGUAUGUUAUGCACGUAGUGUCUUUCUUUUUAGAACUACUCCCCCGGAUGAGGAUGUGUGGCUUUCGGGUGCCACACAUCCCUAUAAUAUAGCAAUAAAAACAUUUUUGAAAUUUUUGAAAGUUUCUGAAAUUUUUAGAUAUGAAAUCUGGGUGCCCGUUGUACAUCUGUAUCCAAUUUCGUGCGGAAUGAAUGCUCGUAGUACUGUCAAUAUAAAAGACAAAAACAUUGUAUGCAUAUAGAAAAAAACUGGAUAUAACGUAUUUAGGACCGUAAUUCCUGCAUCACAGAUACCACAUGCACCCAUUCCCCAUGAAAAUGAACACGAGUGUACAGUGGGCACCUAGGUUUCAUAUCCUAAAAUUUCAGAAUUUUUUGAAAUUUCCAGAUAUUUUUAUAAUGCUAUUUCCAUAUAGGGGUGCGUGGCACCCGGGUGCUCCAGUGCAUUUCCCUCCCUCCGUCCCAUAAUAUAAGAAUGUUUUCCAGAUGAGGUGCCCAGGCUCAACUGAACCCGUGAUGAUCAGAAAAUUCAAAGCAAAUACUAGAUUUUUUUAAAAAAAAUCCCUAAUUUUUAUGGAAGAUAAUUUGAUGCGUGAGAUGCGCUCCAAAUUUCAUAUCAUUUGGACAUCUGAGUAGCUCUUGGCAAAAAAGACAAAUCUUGGGUCUGUGAAAAAGUUUACUGUUCAUGUAUUGUUCUGACCCAAUUUGUCUUUUUUGCUGAGAGCUACUCAUAUGUCCAAAUGAUCUGAAAUUUGGAGCACACCUCACGCAUCAAAUUAUUUUCCAUGCAAAAAUAAUUUUUUUUAGUAGUUCUUGUGAAUUUGCUCUUCACCGGGUGCAGAUGAGUAUGGACUCAGAAAUGGAUAUUCAACGUUUUUCACACUAUACUAGUGUAAAAACACUCUUAUGUUAUUGGACGGAGGGAAUAAUAUAUGUAAUGUAAUGAUAAACCUUUGCAUUUAGAAGUCAAGUAGUAUUUUGAGGUAAAUCUUUUUGGAAGGACCAUUAAUUACGUUGAACCAAGUUUCAUGUAAGUUGAGUGCAACUCUACAUUGAAUCAAGGAGGAGGUGAUGUAUAUGAGGGCGAGCUAUGAGAGGGUAGUGGGCUCCAAAGCCACGGUAUAUCGUACCACCUCCUCGGCCCAUGCACCGCCAGAGGCUGGAGGUAGCCCGCUGCAGGAGCUAAGCCUAUUGAAUUCAUGCUCCAGCCAGUUACUUCAAAAGUUCGAACUAUGGGAGAGGGUUGGACAUUAAACUCCAACACUCCUCCUCACUUCUAUGCCACUUUGGAGUUAUAACGUGGGCAGCGGAAGCGGGGGUAGGCCGCAAUUAUUUAGUGCAUUUACUGGAUUUUGAACCUGGAACCUCUUGGUUGCAAGUCUAGGCUAUUUUAUUCCUUAGAUGUGUGAUCGAUGUAGGCCGCAGAAUCUUUUUAUUUUAAUAUUGUGUUGGUAGAGUCUUGAACUCAAGACGUUUUGGCUCGGAUACCAUAAUGAAUUCAUGCACCAGCCAUUUGCUCCAAAAUUUCAAACUGAUGCGAGAGGGCUGAACCUUGCACUCCAACACAUCCAACUUUCAUGUAAAUUGUGUGAAACUCUGGGAGCGCCAUGUUAGCGCCUAUAGCGUCGAACCGAGAAAGUGGCGCUCAUGUGAGCGGGAGUGGGCAGAGGCCCAUUAAGCUUCGCUCCCUCGCCUUGCUCGAUGUUUGUUCGCUCAAUCAACCCGCCUUUCUCGGUCCUGUAUUUUUUUCUCGGUUGUGUUGUGUUGUUGCUUGAGGAAAAGGUCCGGCCACCAGUUUUGUUAUUAUGAAUACUUUCAUGAUAUAAAAAAGUUCAUGGGUUUCAAUAAAAAGUACAUAAAUUUGAAAAAGAGUUCAAAAAAUCAUUUUUUUUUUAAUUUUCUUAAUUUUCUGAAAAAACUCAUAAAUUUGAUGAAAGUUGAAAAUAAUUCAAAAAGUACAAGAAUUUGAGAAAACUUCAAAAACUUUAUGAUUUAAAAUAAAUGUGAUUUUGAGAAAAAAAUCACGAAUUCUAAAAAAAUUUAAUGAAAUUUACAAAGUUCUUGAAUUUGAAAAAGAAACUUCGUAUUUGGAAAAGUUCACCAAUUUUUUAAAAGUUAACAAAACUGGAAAAGUGCAUGAAUUUGAAAAAGAUUCACGAAUUUGCGGAAAAGUCACAAAUUCCGAAAACAAAUCAUGAAUUUUAUAAAAGUUCAUGAAUUCAAAAAAUAUUCAUGUAUUUUAAAAGUUUUUCUAGUUUGAAAAAAGUUUGCAAAUUUUAAAAGUUCACAAAUCUUGAAAAAAUUCACGAAUUUGAGAACAAGUUCAUGAACUCUAAAAAAAGUUCAUGAAUUUCAACGAAUUCAAAAUUCAAAAAUGUUCAUGAAUUUGAAAAUUUGUUAGAAUUUUAUAAUUACAAAAUAUAUAAAAUUUAGAAAAGUUCACAUAACUUGAAAAGGUGUAUUAAUUUGGAAAAGUAUUCCAGAAUUUGAUAAACAAUUCAUGAAUACUUAAAAGACAUGAUUAAAAAAAUAAAAAAUAUUCAUGAAUUUGAAAAACUUUGCAAAUUUGAAAAAGUAAAAAAGGAGGGGGAAAUAAAAUCAAAAUUUAAAAGCAAUACAGAAAACCAUAAAGCAUGGUUUGGAAGCUUCUAGAUGCUUCACAAAACAGUAUGGUCCACAUUUUUUUGAGAUAAAAUAGUAUGGUGCACAUGCUUCCAUAAACGAAAAAGUGAACUUACAUGGGUUGGCCCAUGUGCUAUGUUCGUGCUGCAAUGCGCUAGUUAGCAAAUAAGCCUAUAAGUAGCAUCUUAAGCGCCAAAUAGGACUUGAGCGCAACUCGAGCGCAAGUCAGGUCAAAUACGAAACUCCAUCCACAAUGAUUUAAGGAACUGUGUCACAAAUGAUGCAUUCACGACAGUUUCACAAAUUAAGCCGCAUGGGAUGAUUGGCAGAUGGCUAGGCCUGAAAGAAAUCACCGUGGAUGACUGCCACAUACGUGACCUUUUUUUGUGUGCAAAAAUCGCCGUGUAUGCGUACGCGAAGACUUUUAGGAAGCCUUUACCCAUGACGAUUCAUUGAAUGAAAUCGUGCCCUUGAGUUAUCCUCCAUUGCAUACCCACCCACCCCCCGGCCCCGCCCCGUCCCUCCCCCUUAUCCAUUCCAAACCCUAGCAGCCACACUCAUCCACCUCACCGACCUCCUCCACUGCAAACUCCUCCAACUGUGGCAGCUCUGCUACAAUUGAUCCAGCCUAUCCAUUGGACCUCCAGCCCCUCCUCCACCACAAAAUGGAAAAUUGGCAUUGUUUAGUGGUGUUCUUGUUGUUUAUUAGGUUAGAUGGAGAAUUGGCAUUGGUAUCAUUAUAUAUGCUUUUGCAAGAGUUCUUUUUGAUUGGCAACAAAAAUCACAUGAAUGCAGGUGAAAAUAAAUAAAUUAGUUUGCAUUAAAAAUGUUUCACAAAGUAUUUAAUAAUAUAGAUAAAAAUUAUACAACACAAAGAUGUGGCAUCGGUCGUGUUGCCUAGAAUAUUGUGUUAUGUAUAUCGUUUGGUUAUAUUAGUGUCCAUGCUACCUAGUUAGAUUAUUGGCGUUAGUUGAUCUAAUAAUUAGUUUUUCAACAAAGAUCUAAUGAUCAGUUGUAGGUUCAAUGUGUAAUUAGUUUUUUUUACAUUAUAUUUGUUAUUUUGGUAAAUGUGUUGUCAUUGUUGCAACUACCAUUUGCAAGAGUUUGUGGGAUAGGAGUGGGUUGAUAUAUUCCAUCACUACAUUACAAUGACACUGCAAACCAUGGCCUCGAGAGUUCGGGCAUACUACGAGCACAGGAAAAAAUAUUUCUCGACUCCUAAGAUAAGAUCUCCGUACAAGCAACGAUAUGGAUACCCAUGAUUUUUCAAUGUCCAUAACUCCAUAUACUUAUUUUUAUUGUGAAAAUGAAUUUGACAUGAAUAAUGCAGUUUUAUAGAAUGCUUCUCUGUUGUCUCCGCGGUCCCAUGAGCGGCCCGGAUGAAUCUAGGCUACAAAGAAAAAAAAAUCUACUUUUCUAAAUGCUUCCUUUGGUGCUUCCCAUGAUCCAUAAUCGGUUCAAUAAUUGCCUUGACGUCCUCCUCAAUUUCGUCAACCUACAUAAACAUUUAGCUUGGUGAUGAAGGAGAGUAGUAAUAGUAAUACAGCCGCCAUUGUAAUCUUAGAGUUUUCUUAUGCUUUAUAAGGGUGGUAACUAAGCACCCUACGAAACAACAAAACAGCACUGGGAUGUUGCUUCAAGUCACCGACGCGAUCACUAUCACUUCAUUUCCAGUCGACCAAAAGCAGUUGCUUAAGAUUGCAAGAGAACUCAAAAAAGCAAUCGGACUACCUUGUGGAUGAUGUCUCGUGCAAGAUGAGCCUCCUCCGCGACUUCCUUGGAGGCGUGCUCGACCACCACCGCGGCGCGUCUCAGCCUGCCGUCCUCCGGCAGAUGCCCGGCCACCUCGGACGACACCUUCUCGGCCACCGUGGCCACCUCCUCCACGACCUCCGCCGCGGUCUCGGCGGCGUCCUUCACCAUCUCCACCUCAUCUUAACGGAACCAGUCCAUGACAAAUGUUAAUAUCCAUGGAUUCUAUCUUCCUAGUUACUCCCUCCGUAAACUAAUAUAAGAGUGUUUAGAAUACUAAAGUAGUGAUCUAAACGCUUUUAUAUUAGUUUACAGAGGGAGUACUUGGUUAAUUGGUUGACGUGCUUACUUCCGAUCCGCAGAAUCGACGCCGAUUUGGAGUGCAGGAACGGCGCCGCGACAGCAACAGUGGAGCCAAUUGCCAGUCUUGCCCUGACAAAAGAAGAACAGAGAGUUGCAAGGGCAGUUUACGAAUGUAAGCUGUACUACGACCAUUACAAAAACCGGACCAAGAUCAUAGAAAAUUGGUUGGAUUACCAGGUGGAGAAACCUGCAGCAGGUCGUCCUGUGCCACCUGCGCCGCCGCCGCUGCUCCUGGUUCCUCUGAUGCCACGGCGCAGGCCAGAGGACGAAAACGAUCUCCGCCGAUCCAACGCCAGAAAAUGCGCCGCCGUGGCAGGCGGGUUGUCGCAGCCGAGGCGGGUGGUGCAGUGGAUGUGGAUCAGCCUGUGCCGGCAGAGCGACGCGAACGAGCUGGCAGGAGACAUGUCCAGCGGAUCAACUGUUCUUCGGUUUUCUCCUUCUUUUCAACUGAUCGACACUGAAAAACUGAACUGCUGGAGUGUUGGGGGCAUCGAUCAAGCGAUGGUCAUAUAUAGACCUUGCAAAAAAUGUUGCUUGUUGGCUUGCAAGACUUAUCUAAUCGAGCUGGUGGAUGAUGAAUCCGUGCGGAGUGUGCACGGCAGCGCGUAAACUCGCAUACAUACCUUGCAAGUAUCAGCGUGGCUGAUUAAGCUGUCCAUGAUUGCCCAAAGCGUCAAGUAACGGGGCACAUGCAUGAUGCAUCUAACACAUAACACAAUGUAAUGUUUCUUUUUUCCUUUUCACUCUUUUCUUAUUAUAUUUGUCUAGUCCUAAACUAGAUUUUGUUGCUGCCAUUUACAAAAAUAUCCAUGUAAGACAUUCUUUUAUGCUUACGAGCCUAUGUACAGAAAACUAUGCCAUGUUUCUUGAAUAAAAAUAAAAUAGAAUCUAACACAAUGGAGUAAUUUACUACUCCCUCCAUUCCAGAAUAUAAGGUGUAUUAUUUUCCGUGCAAGUCAACCAUUUGAAUGUUUGACCAACAUUAUAGAAUAAACUAACUACAUCUAAAAUACCAAAUAGAUAAAAUAUGAAACCACUUUUCAUGAUGAAUCAAAUGAUAUAAAUUUUAUAUUAUGGAUAUUGGUAUUUUUCUAAAAAAACUCGGUCAAACAUAACUUCGUUUGACUUUUGAAAAAACAAACACACCUUAUAUAAAGGAAGGGAGGGAGUAUCUUUUGUUUGCACAACAUAUUUUUAACUAGAUGAUACCCCGCGCGUUGCUGCGGGAUUUUUUUAGCACGCAAUGGUAGAAGUUAAAUUCAAUAAAAUUGUGGUACAAAUAUUUAAUAGUAGUAAUAACCAAAAAAUAGAUAGUAGUAAAGAAGUUUUAUUUUGGCAAGGAAGAAAGAAAAUUCAGUACAAAUGGAAAUAAACCAAUGAAGGAAAAUUCAUGACAAAAGAAAUUGAAACAUGUCUUAGUUAGAUUGCUUAACAUUUCUUGGUUAGAGGAGGCAAAGAAUUUCACAUAUUUUUCUUGAGUAUACCAAUUAGAUUCGUAGCUAAGUUUGUAUGAUAUGCAUGUAUCUCUUAGCUAGCUAGGGUCCAUUGGCUACGUAGCUUAGGGUAAUUAGCAAGGAACUAGUCAUGCAUGCGUGCGCAUGCUAGUACCAGCGACGACAUACACAGACGUGUAAUAGUAGUGGCAUGCAAGCAAGCGCGGCGCUCUCGCUGGUGAGGCUGCCGGAGAUCGUCGUGAUGGAGAUCCUGGCGAGCGUUGCGACCUCUUGCGCCGCCGCGCGCAAGUGCUGACGCGCCCUUGCCACCGAGCCGUCCUUCCUUCUCUGCCGCUGGCUAGGGGGUGCCUGCCAAUGCUCCUCCCUUUCCCUUUCGGCUUCCUCGUCCGGGAGCAGCGCCACGGUUCGGAAGGUCCGCCUGGCUCGUGCUUCGUCCACGUGCCGCUGUAGGUGCUCUGCCCCGGCCGUUCCUUGAUCGGCUCCUUCGUCCAGGCCUCGCCAGCCUCUUCGACGACCACGUCAUGCAUGCCACUCGCGUCGGCGUCCUCCUCGAGUGCUUUGGCGGCGGUGAUGAGUCGGAGCCUGGCCUCUACGGCCGCCCCGUCUGCAAAGUGCUCUCCGGCGCCUGCCACAUACUCAAGGAGAAAAGAACAUAGGUGUAUCGGUGUUUUCCUUUCCGCUAGGCCUGGUUCUUCCACUUCUUGGACAGGAGUGUGCGCGUCCCUGUACCGGACGCCGGCAGAACCUCGGCAGGAAGACAACGGGGACUACGGAACACACACACACACACACACAAAAAAAAAAAAAACUCGUGUCAGCGGCACAUCAGAUAAACAUCGCGGUGCUUGGCUGCAAUUGGGAAGAACAAAUCCGACCGCCACGAGCUUGAGGCCGUCUACAUCGGCAAGGAUUAAGCGCCAGUCGUCAGUUAGGUGUGAAGGUCCCUGGGAGCUUCCCAAGAUGAUGGACGCAAACAACUUGACGCACAUGGGGCAGCGGGCGCUCGGCUCGAUCAGGUUGAUCCACAGUUAUAUCAAGGAGAGAUUGGAAGAGGAGAAGACAUGCUUCCAAUGGAAAGGGAAAUGACUCCAAUAAACACACGUAAUGGUCGGUAUUAAAAUGGUUGCAUUGAUAGACGCCUAGUGGCCAACGUGGAUGCAUGGGAAAGAUCGUUCCUAUUCUGCCGAUGGAUAGAAAAAUCGGGUCACAUCUGAAAGAAAGAGAGAGCUCAGAUGGAAUGCAUGAGUGGGUGAAAAAUUGCUGACAUGGCACAAAGCUGAGGUGGACAACCUGCAUGUUGAGAGAAUGCCUUGUAGUGGGGAGCAACUUCUUAAGAAUGGUAGAUGAGUCAUGUGCACAUAUUCUAUGGGAAAAUAAAGUAUUUAUCCAUCAGAAGUUUUUAUCUGUCGGACACUUUAAAGAGUUGAACAUUUUUUAAUUUACGUGAAGAUUUUGUUUGACAUACAUGAAAAGUUUCCAAUGUGAGGUGAAACAUAUAAAAAAUGAUUUCUGUCCUUACACAAAGUUUUUAUGUUGAAAUGAUUUUCAUGAUGUGAGUGGACAUUAACUUCUUUCACAUAAGUACAUUUUAUUAAGCACCCAUGAACACUAUUUGACUAACAUGGACAUUUACAUAGACAAUAGAACGUAUUUCAUUUAUUAAAAUAAUCUUGGGAGUACUGUUCCUAAAUAAAUGCAGUUUAUAAAUUAUAUAUUCAUUGGAAGGGGUAAAUUGGCAGUUGACAAGUUUAAUGGACCAACGACCUAAUAUGAAAAACAAACAUUGAAAAUUAUAAACAAUGUCUCCUUAGGUUUAAUUUAAUUUAGUACAGAGAUACAAAAAUAUAUUUACAAUGCCAUGAAAUAACAAGUCUAAAUUCAAUCCACAAUUCUACAAUAAGAAAAGUGAAAUCAUGUAAGGAACACUAGUUAUUCGGAAGCCGUGAAUUGAUCUCAUUAAAAAUGUAAGUUGAAUUUGUUGUUUUUCUUUCUUGAGUUGUGGCUCAAAUUUGAAUCUAAUUUUAUAUUAAUUGUAGAUUAAAGUGUGUUUUUUCAGGUUUGAUGCAUUGGAUACGUCCUCUCUAUAGGAACUUCCGAAGACCCAAUUCACCAAACCAGAAAGGUUUCUAUUAGUUCGCCAUUGAGCUAUCGGCCGAAAAUCAAAUAAAAGUGUCCUUCGAAGGCUAAAAGUGUAAAGCUAUAUCUCUCUCACUGCAAGAUAUAGCGAGCGCUCGCUUAUAGAGCCCUCGAUCCGGGCCAGCCCAGUAGUAUAGGGGGAGAAGGCGGUGUUGAAAUACCUAUUUGCACAAGGUUCUAUUCAGUCGUGUUGUUGAUUUUAAACAGGUCUAUCAGGGUUUAUUCCUUCCUUGGAUUUUUGAGCCAUGUUGAUUUCCCUAGUUUAAUAUUCUUUUAUAUCUUGGAAAAAUAAUACAAUACACCUGGCCAUGUUAACCAGAAUGAGGGNNNNNNNNNNNNNNNNNNNNNNNNNNNNNNNNNNNNNNNNNNNNNNNNNNNNNNNNNNNNNNNNNNNNNNNNNNNNNNNNNNNNNNNNNNNNNNNNNNNNNNNNNNNNNNNNNNAUCUCGUUUCUUUAUUUUUUAUUUUUUUUUCUCGGUUCUUUUUUCAUCAUGUUUUAAACAAUGUACACUGUAUAUUUUAAAAAAGUGUUUUUUCUUGUGUUUAAAAAUGUUUAUCAUGUAUCAAAAAAAUUGGCGUGUAUUAAAAAGUGAUCAUCGUGUACUUUCAGAAAGUUUUGGUGUAAUGAAAAGUAUUCAUAUCUAUAUUAACAAAAUAUACAUAAAUUUUCCAGAGUGUACUUUGAAAAUAUUCAUCAUACUUUUAAAAAAUGGUUAUCGAGUAUUUAUAAAAAUAUCAUAGUAUAUUUUAUAAAUACGUCAUCGUUUAUGUUCUUGUGAUGCAUGGCUUUUUUUCACUUUUUACCUUUUCAAUAUAUGGGAGAUAAGUUCUUUUACAUACAUGUUUAUUUAUCGGGCACACGCAAACACACAUGUGGUGUGAUUUUUCGUAACCAACACUGUGUGGUAUGCCAUUAAAAAAAGUGUGGUGUGUUACUAACUUUUUUUAGGGUCAGUAUUUCGUUUUUGAUUUUCGGUGUGGUGUGCUAGUUUUUUUUAGAAGAAGUGGUGUGCUAGUUAUUCUAGACGUGGAAGACGUAGGUGACUAAUGGGGUGCUUGCNNNNNNNNNNNNNNNNNNNNNNNNNNNNNNNNNNNNNNNNNNNNNNNNNNNNNNNNNNNNNNNNNNNNNNNNNNNNNNNNNNNNNNNNNNNNNNNNNNNNNNNNNNNNNNNNNNNNNNNNNNNNNNNNNNNNNNNNNNNNNNNNNNNNNNNNNNNNNNNNNNNNNNNNNNNNNNNNNNNNNNNNNNNNNNNNNNNNNNGCUAUGUCUCGCGUUCAGCGAGUCGAGUCUUCUGACUCACUGAAGAGCGCGAGGAUAUGGGCCGGCCCAGUUCGCGGUAGGUACACUGCAUCGUUCUCUUUUCUGUUUUUUCCAUGUUUUUAUUAAAUUUUUUGAUUCCAUUUUUUACUUUUCUUUACACUUUGAAAAAUGUUGAAUGUGUAUAAAAACAUGCUGACCAUGUAAUAAAAAAUGAUAAAAUUUCUUGAUCAUGUAUAUAAAAAUGUUAAUCAACCAUCUAAAAAAAUGUUCAACAAGUAUUUAAAAAAUGUUGAGCGAGUAUUUGAGAAAUGUUGAACAAGUAUUAAGAAAUGUUUAAUAAGUAUUAAAAAUGUUGAGAAGGUGUUUAAAAAAUGCUGAACAAGCGUUCGGACAAUGUUGAACGUGUAUAUAAAAAAUGUUGAUCUCUUAUUAAAAAACUUGAACAAGUAUUUACAUAAUGUUGAUCAAAUAUUUGAACAAUGUUAAAUGUGCAUAGAAAAAAGUUGAUCAUAUAUUAAAAAAUCAAGAAAUAUUGAUCAUGUAUAUAAAAAAAUGUUUAUUGAGCAGUUGAAAAAUGUUAAACAAGUAUUUAAAAAUGUUAAUCAAGCAUUUGGAAAAUGUUAAAUGUGUAUAGAAAAAUGCUGACCAUGUGUUAAAAAUGUUAAUAAUGCAUUUAGAAAAUGUAAUCAAGAAUUUGAAUAAAUGUAGAUGUGUAUUAGAAAAAUGUUGUUGACAUAUACAAAAAAAAAUGUAGAAUAACAAUCAAAAGAAAAAAGGAAACCGGAAAAAGAAACAAAAUGCAAUUUUUUUGGAAAAAAAAUGGCAAACUACAUAAUGUGAUUUUUGCAAUAGGUUCUUGGGAACUUCUCUUAGAGACUACCUUUGACCCCAGCGCAUAGAGAGGCCCAUAAGAGUUCCUAUGUUGAUAACUUUUAGUUUCACUUUCCACCCUAGUUAUAAAUGUAUGUCACAGUAAAAUAGCAUUCUAAUAUCCAAGUAAAUGUACAUAUCAUUACAUGCCAUAUGGUCGACAGGAUGGGAUUGCCGGAAGCAUCAACACUAAGUGGGACGGUAGUGGCGGCUAGGGUUAUGCGCGAGGAGGCAGAGAGUGUGUAUCGGCUAGCGUUGCCAACGCCUCCAGUAUAUAGGUUGUUGGGUAGGGAGUUGUGGGCCAGGGCUUAGGCCCACGACUAAGUAGGCAACAACUCACGGUCCAACCUCUCGGAUAUCUUUGAUUAAUUAACUGUUCCUGACCGGCAAAAAUAAAGUGCAUGCAUGACAUAGGUCUAAGCUCGGCUCGGCUCAUUCAUGAAACACGAAGCGCGUAUGAUGCAUGGCAUGGCAAGACGGGCGACAGAGGAGGAGCGCGUGUAUCAUUCCUCUUUUCAAGCGGCAAUAGCAUGUGAAAGAGAAUACCUUGUAAAGAGGUCUCAACUCUCUUCCACUCGCAGUAGGGUACUAAAUUUCUCACCAUGUCAUGCACCCCACAUGAGCCUUAUAGACCAACCAUGAAUUAUUGUUUAUAUGGGACCAAAGCCUAUCUAUAAUUCAACAAUGCCCCAUCAGAUCUCGGAGGCACAUUAUGUUGUCCUUUGUUCUAAAAAAUUGCUUUGAUAUGCUGAUAGUUUUAGUGGACACUGGUUAAGGCUGAACGUCCACUUAGAGCAAAGGGUUACACUUCGUCACAAUUGAACCUCGCCGCCUCCACCACCGCAGGAGCAAGGCGAACGGGGUGCCGUCUCGGUCGUUAGGUGGCAUGUGUCAAACGUAGGAAACGAUUUGUGGGAGAGAGAGAGAUCAGCCGGUUGAAAGCAAGAGUUUUCCAAGAGAGAGAGACAGAGACCUGAAGUGGACCAUUGGCCCGUUUAUUCUGGUUUAGUCGACGGUGUGCUUGCUCCUGCUUAGGCCCAUGGGCCAAAAUUGACACCGGCCAUGCAUUGUGUACCGGCUGAAACACAUCAUCACGCUUGGGAGGCUAGGGAUUGGCGUGACCGACGUGAAUUCCUAUUGGGACUGUCUAAUUGACAGUCGACUGAAAAUCAAUUCGUUUUCAGUCAGAUUUUUAGGCCAAUAGGAACCUAACGGUUGUCUGUCCCUGUCACCUGUAUGUCCAUGUCAAAAUUUGCUACCAGCCUAACGGGUUUGUCCAUCCACCAAAGCCGGCCCGAUUACACUGGAGGGAUCUCGUAGCACCUGAACUUGCGAGGGAAUUAUAAUAAGCCAAAUAAAACAGAAACAUGCGGGAAGGAGGGAUCUCGUGUCAAUCGAUCUAAUCACCAAGGAAGAAGCAAGCAGGAGGUCAAAAUCACCAAGUUCAGAGACACUCACAUGGAAGAAAAACUGCUAGAUGAACCUCAGGGGACAUAUGUUCGAAAAUUCCUCCUCACGACCUCUUUUGCGUUCAUCAAAAAAAAAAAACUGCCGUGCAUUACCGUUCCAGUAUUCUUCUCAUAUGAACUUGUUCUAAUAUGGGCUGAGUCUGGAAAACACAGUACACACGAACAUCAACAGUGUGUGAAAUCGUCUGAAAGAAAGUAGACAGAACAUAAAACAGAAAUUCAGGAAUUCAGCACUAGAUCAGAGGAAAUUUCAGUAUAAUGUCAAACACCAGUAGUUUGACAGCAGCAACAGUAGUUUUAAAAUACAAAGUUCAGGCAUUGCUUACAAACAACAGUAAUUCAACAAUGAUCAAAUAACAGUAGAACCAUCUAUUUUUAGGCUAUUUCUUGUAAAAAUACAGUAGAAUAACAGUGCAAAUGACAGUGAGCUUUACAGUGUAAUUGCAGUAGAUUUACAUUGUAAUUUAUAGUAGAAUUACACUGUAAAUACUACAUGUUCCAGUGAGAUUUUACAGUAGAUUUACAGUGUAAAUACAGUAGUGUUGCAGUUGAGUUACAGUGUAAUUUACAAGUAAUUCUACUGUAAAUGUCAGUGGAACUACAGUCUAAAUACAAUUGUAUUUUACGAUAGAACUUCAGUGCAAAAUACAGAGUUUUCAGUGUAAUUCUACUAUAAUCAAAGUGUAUUUUACAGUAGAACUUCAAUGUAAAUACAGAUUUUUACAGUAUGAUUGCAGUAGAUUUACAGUACAAUUACACCAUAAAUACUACAGUUGAGUUCCAGUAACAUUUUUACGGUGUAAAUACCGUAGUAUUGCAGUUGAAUUACAUUGAUUUACAGUUUAAUUUCACAAGUAAUUCUACUGUAAAUGUCACUAGAAAUUUCAACUGACAUGCACCUCCAUCUUCCUAACAACAUAAACACCCACUAAUUGAAGAACACAUCACUGUUAAACAUAGACAGGAAACAACUACUCGGAUCACGGCAACGCAGAUGAGCUACUCCUGGAAACAUGUCUUCUUCAGUUAGUAUCGUCCGCCUGCAAAGGAAACAAACAUGAGUAUUAUAAGAGAAUGUUAGAAUAAGAGAACAUAUAUUGCAAAGGAGAUUAAAUUUACACACAUCUUUAAAUCAAAUCUACAACUGAUGUGAAGUCUAAAACCUUGACAGAGAAUAAACCAAAACCCAUAACGCAUUGGUUUCACUGGAACCGGUUCUUGGACCAAAAAACACCUGCACCUACAAUACUGAAAUUACAGUAGCUAAAAUUACAAAUUACACUAGAAUAUUCAGUUUACAGUGCGAUCUUGUGAAAUUCAGUUUCCAUUGUUUCAGUGAAAAAAUUACAGGAGCUAAAAACACCAAUUAAAUUUUGCACUGAAAUUCUACUGUAAUUACCAUGUAAAUUACACUGUAACAACACUAAAAAAUUCAGUGUAAUUACAGUGAAUCACACUGAAAUUAUACUGUAAAAUCCAGUGUAAACUAGCAUGUAAAUUACGCUGUAACAACACUAUAAAAUUCAGCGUAAUUACAGUACAAAUGCACAGUAAAUUCAGUGUAACUACUAUCCAAAAGAACACUGAAAUUCAGUGUAACCACAGAUGCAUUUUCUGUAAUUACACUGCUUAGUAAACUACAAUGAAGAUUGCACUGACUUACUAAACUGUAAUUGCACUAAAAAAACUAGUGCACUGACUAAUGACACUGACCAAGUACAAAAACCUGUGCACGGUCAGAUUUCUUCCACAAAACGUCAAACAUUAACAACCACUGAAAUUUCAGUAUUUUUAUUGCCAACACACUAAAAAUAAGAUAAAGUUCUAAAAUGGUGCUAAAAAUGGAUGAAAUAAUACGCAACAAAGACCAACCCCAACAAAGAAGACAAACCCCAAAGAAAAGGUUCUGCAAUGCUUGCAGGCCAACCAUAGACAAACCCCUAACAAAAGGUUAACAUAGACGAACUAGAAAAAAACCACUAAGAGCUACAGUGUGGAAAAGAAACUUCAGUUACAGUGAAAAUACACUAUAAUUUCAUUGUAAUGUACACUCAGAAUCUGUCUUUAAUUACACUGAAUAUUGAACUGUAAUUACCAUGAAAAUUACACUGUAACAACACUAGGAUUACUCUGCAAUGUGCACCGUAAUUGCACUAAAGAUCCUAGUGUAAUUUUAAAUAAACUGAAAGAGAGAACUGAAAAAGAAAAGAAAAGCUAGACAAAAAUAACUACCGGCGACAUAUGAACGAAUCAUCUUCCGCGGAGUCAUUGGGCACAAAAACAUUAAUCCAAAGAAUCUGAGGUUUCAGACAGAUUACAUAAACAUGAUACACAAAGGUCAACAACACUUACUGGAUGAGCUAGAAAACAAAAGGAAAAGCAAAUUAUGCAUAAAAAGAAAUAAGAGAAACAACUGAAUACUAUGGAACUUAACCUGCUUGAUUAUGGAAAUUGCACUAAUGAAAAAUUAUGGAACUCAUUGGGGUAAUACAAUUUUAAAAGAUACUGCAAAUUUCUGAACUCGCCACCAGGAGAAUGACAGAAAUAAACAUGGUACUAAGCUAAUGGUCAAAAAGGCUUGACCAUCAUUUCUACGAGGAUGGAACUGCACAAAACAGAACUGUACCCGACAUAUAUUGCAAAUGCAAUGAAGAAAAAAGAUACUACAAAUGUAGUGAAAAUACUACCUACCUACCCUGCACAAGAUAGCUAGCAAAUGUUCAUGCAGAAAUGAAGUCAUACUGCAAAUACAGUGAACAACACUAGUUACAUAGCACCAAACUGAAAAUACAGAACCAAUACACUGUAAGCAACUAAAGUACCACGAAUCACAUACAUUGGAACCUUAAAGUAACUCAGUACAAAACUGAAACAGAAAAAUUCAGAGCAAGUAGGAUCUAACACCUACAUCCACAAAAGAGAUCAUGAGACAUCUAAAUCAAUCGGGAGACUGAGAAAACUUCACAUACAUCUACAUCAAAUGGGCCAGCCAAAAAUUAAAUGAUCAUGGGGGAUCUAGCGCACUAUUAGAUGCCCACGGGGAUCAAUCAACAACCACUGUAGUGGGAUGAUAUCAAAAUCGAACAGCAGUAAAAUAUCAAAAGGGUCAAGGGGAUCCACUGCUACAUCUGAAGCAAUCAAUGGGAACCAACGAAUUGACCGCCUGCGUUAGAUCCGGGGGNNNNNNNNNNNNNNNNNNNNNNNNNNNNNNNNNNNNNNNNNNNNNNNNNNNNNNNNNNNNNNNNNNNNNNNNNNNNNNNNNNNNNNNNNNNNNNNNNNNNNNNNNNNNNNNNNNNNNNNNNNNNNNNNNNNNNNNNNNNNNNNNNNNNNNNNNNNNNNNNNNNNNNNNNNNNNNNNNNNNNNNNNNNNNNNNNNNNNNNNNNNNNNNNNNNNNNNNNNNNNNNNNNNNNNNNNNNNNNNNNNNNNNNNNNNNNNNNNNNNNNNNNNNNNNNNNNNNNNNNNNNNNNNNNNNNNNNNNNNNNNNNNNNNNNNNNNNNNNNNNNNNNNNNNNNNNNNNNNNNNNNNNNNNNNNNNNNNNNNNNNNNNNNNNNNNNNNNNNNNNNNNNNNNNNNNNNNNNNNNNNNNNNNNNNNNNNNNNNNNNNNNNNAUCACCGGAGCGGAACUCAAGCUCGAGGAGAGGUGCAGCUUGGAAUCGCAAUGGAAUACGAUCAAAAUCGCCUCUUCCUCUCCGCUGCUGUAGCGCUCACUCUCUCUCUGCCUUGCCCAUUUCAAACAGUGACGCCUAAGGAAAUGAGAAAGCAAAAUGCCAAUUCAUCGUCAGAAGAAUAAAAGGGAAAAGACAGCGUCCGGGCGGUAACGGGCCGACCCAAAAU
Molecule: long non-coding RNA, 62256 nt
Filed under: Triticum aestivum (bread wheat)
Lineage: Eukaryota; Viridiplantae; Streptophyta; Magnoliopsida; Poales; Poaceae
Description: long non-coding RNA (TAES_LNC019765)
Source: RNAcentral